RNAcentral lists this long non-coding RNA (81424 nucleotides) under Lathyrus oleraceus (garden pea). RNAcentral describes it as "Pisum sativum (pea) long non-coding RNA (PSAT_LNC010008)". The stretch from base 61198 to 61271 matches the Rfam family "tRNA". The record is from RNAcentral. Lineage: Eukaryota; Viridiplantae; Streptophyta; Magnoliopsida; Fabales; Fabaceae.
AAAAUCAUUGAGAGACCUCAGAAAUUCAUCCAUUUUUGUGAAAUUUUUUGUGCCCAUGCUAUUUAAGGUGAAUUUAUGGCUGAUUUUCGUGGAUUUUUGCAUUAUGGAAAAUUAGCUUAGGUUUGUGAGUGUCACAUUUUUAUGUUUGCCAACCUCAUGAAAUACCAUAACCUUAAAGAAAUGAAUGUAAACAUUUUUGUGUUUAUUUCCCUGUUGACUGGUAUUCAUGUAGAUGUUUAUGAUUUUUGUAUUACUCUGUGAUGAGAUAUGAUUUUUUGCAUUAGUGUGACAAUUCGUUCACACAUCUCUCUUGAUCUGCACCAAAGGUUUCAAUCGUCACAAGAGGUAAAUAUUCUAUCACUGAUCAUGACCAUUCGUAAGGAUCUCUAAAGGAGAAAAUUUUAAUUUCCACUGCGUUUUGGAUCGCAAUUCUCCUUCAUGAAGACCCUGGCCCGAAUCAAAACAUUGAUACUCCUCCAAAUCAUCAAGAUCUUACCAAAGAAUGGAAAACAAAGAAAGACCAUCUCAUUCAAAAUGUUAUUAGAGACAUCUCCAAGGGAGUCAUUACUAGACGAUCCUUUAAUAAGAUAUGUAACUUUGUGCUUUUGUUUCACAAAUUGAGCCAAAAGGAAUCAACACAUCUAUUAUUGAUGAAAAUCGGUCUCUUGCCAUGUAAGAAGAGUUAAAUCAAUUUGAACAAAACAACGCUUAGAAAAUCAUUCUCAAGGCUUCAGAUAAUCAAAUGAUUAGUACCUUAUAAGUCUUUCGCAACAAGAUGGAUGACGAUGGAAUUUUUUUAGCAAAUAAAGCCAGACUUAUUGCAAAAGGAUACAAUCAACAUGAAGGAAUAGACUUCGAUGAAACCUAUGCUCGUAUGGCUAGAUUAGAACCCAUAAGGAUGUUAUUAGCUUUCUCUUGCAUCAUGAAUUUCAAAUUAUUCCAAAUGGAUGUGAAAAACGCAUUUCUAAAUGGCUACAUCCAAGAGAGGUAUGUGUUUAUCAACCUUCGAGUUUUAUCAACUGGACCUUUUUCGAUCAUGCUUUCAAGCUUAAGAAAGCAGUAUAUGGUCUUAGACAAGCUCCUAGAGCUUGGUACGACCGUCUAAGCAGAUUCUUGCUUGAAAACAAGUUCAAAAGAAGACAAGUUGAUAAAACCCUCUUUAUUAAGAAAAUUGAACAUGAUAUCUUAUUAGUUUAGAUUUAUGUCAAUGAUAUCAUAUUCGGUGCUACUAAAGAAUACUUGUGCAAAGAGUUUUUUGAAAUGAUGUAGAAUGAAUUCAAAAUGUCAAUCAUAGGGCAACUUCGACACUUCCUAGGACUUCAAAUCCAUCAAACUAACGAAUAAAAUUUCAUAAAUCAAGCCAAGUACAAAUAAUUAUUAAAAAGGUUUGACAUGGAGAAGUCCAAAGCAAUAACAACCCCAAUGUCAACAUCAUGCAACCUCGACAAGGACGAAGAUAGAAAACCAGUUGAAGAAAGCAAAUAUUGGGGAUAUGAUAGACUCUCUUCUAUAUCUCACCUCAUAUCGUCCUAAUAUCACAUUUGUUAUAUGUAUUUGUGCUUUCUUUCAAGCAUCCUAAAGAAUCACAUCUCAUUAUGGUCAAAUGCAUCACGAGAUAUCUCAUUGACACAUAACAAAUGGGUUUAUGGAGCCUCGAGGAAGUGGAUUGUGACUUUUUUGGGUACACUGAUUUCGAUUUCGCGGGGUGCAUAUUGGAUAGAAAAAGUACCAGUAGUACAUAUCACUUACUGGGGAAAUCUCUUGCCUCUUUGCAUUGUAAGAAACAAGUAAUUGUCGCGCUAUCCACAAUUAAGGUAGAAUAUGUUACAACGAGUGGUUAUUCCUCUUAGAUUAUCUGGAUGAAACAACAACUUAAUGAUUAUAAUUUUAAUCUUUGAGUUUUCCCGAUAGUAUGUGAUAACACUAGCGCCAUAAGCCUCACUAAAAACUUGAUUCUUCACUCUCGGGCCAAAUACGUUGAGGUUAGGCGCCACUUUAUUAGGGAUCAUGUUGAAAAAAGGGAAUGCAUACGUGCACAUAUAUUUUUACAAAACCUCUUUCUAAAGAAAGAUUCUUUUUCAUAAGAAUUGAACUAGGAAUUCUAAAUAAAUCAUGCAUGGAUUAGUAUGCUUAUGUGUCUUUUCUCUUUCUUCUUCUUACUUUUCUAUACUUGCUAUUUUAUGAUAUAUGUGCUUCGAUUGUUUUCCACCUUUUUAUUAUGAUAAAAGGGGGAGAAAUAUACUUUAUACUCAUGUGAGGGGGAGUUUAAGCACUCUAAUUGCAUGUUUAUAUGUAUUUUAUUUUAACACCUCCCUGAGAUAUGCAUUUUCAUCAUCAAAAAGGGGGAGAAAGUGAAUUUAUGUGCUUGCACAUACGAAGCUGAUAAUCCGGUUGAGAACCUUCCAAAUAUUUUGAUGAUGACAACACCAAUGAUUGUUAAAUUCGGUGGUAAUAACUUUUCAACUCUUUGAUGAUGGUGACAAAACUUGAAGAUAUCUCAAGCCUCAUAAAGUGCUCCCUCUGGUCCUAUUUAUGAGAGACAAUUUAAUUUUUAGAUUCAUUGAAUAAUCAAUGUAUUUGGUCUAAUAAUAGGCCAAAUUACAUUGAUUAUUUAAUGAAUCUAAAAUUUAAAUUGUCUCUUAUAAAUAGGACCGGAGAGAGUAUAAGACUCAAUAUUUCAUUAAAGUUCUUAUACGAUCAAUGUAUCUGGAAAGGGAUCUUGAAAGCUUGAUAGUUGUGAAAGAAAGGAUAUUUGGAUGCUUGAAUGGUCAUGUCUGUCUAAGUGGCCAUAGUUUUGGGAAAGUAGGAGAGUAACUCAUAAGAUACUAAGGCAACUCUCUCUCUCUCUCUCUCUCUCUCUCCUCCUCUUUAAUAUAUAUUAUAAUAAUAGUAUAUAUAUAUAUAAUAUAUAUAUAUAUAUAUAAUAUAUAUAUAUAAUAUAUAUAUAUAUAUAUAUAUAUAUAUAUAUAUAUAUAUAUAUAUAUAUAUAUAUAUAUAUAUAUAUAUAUAUAUAUAUAUAUAUAUCACGCGCAUACAUGCGUGCACACACACACACAUAAAAAGACUUUUUAAACCUCUUUCCUAACUAACAAAACAUAUAAAAAAAAUUCAAGGCUUAACUAAUUUAUUAGAAAACUGUCAACUUCAUUUAAAUAUUUUUUUAAACUAUCUAAUCGAUUGAAGCCAAUAGUCAAUCAUUUGGAAGAAUAUAAAUUAAUUAUAUAAUCGAUUAUGAGAGAGUCUUAAUGAAUUAUAACGACUUUCUAUCCCAACUUUUUAAAAUGGGCUCAAAUAAUUUAUUAUUUAUGUCAUAUAAUCGAUUAGAAUAAGGACCUAAUCGAUUGGACCAAUAAUUUGACCCAUGGAUCAUUUCCCUUUUUAGCCAUUUAUUCUCCUAUAUAAAGGAGACGCGUCUCCUCUUAAUUUCACAUCAGAAUUUAGUCUCAAUUCUUUUUUUUAAAAAUUAUCUUAGUGCCUUGUGAGUGAAAACUACUUGUGAGGAAGCAUUUAUACUAGUGUAGUGCCAUUAUUAUUACUCUAAAGACUGCGAUAUUCUUGGAAAAUAAAGUUUGGUUCUUGAGAUUAACCACUCUUAAAAUAUAUGUUUGGUCAUAGAACUUUUCCUAUAAAAGUACUAUUUGUUUAUUGAGAUCAGCGUGAAAAAUCUUUAAUCGGUUUGUUAGCACAUCUUGGGUAAAAUAGUUCUUUUGGUUAGGUAUAAGUGAUUGUAAAAUCUCUAGACCUACUUGUAUUAAAGUUAGCGGGCAUAAUCUUUAAGAGUUUAAGUUUAUAGUCAAAAUCUCAAGAAGAUCCCUUGGGUACAAUAAUAGGGCAACUUUCGGCCGAAUCUGGAUACACCUAUGGGGUUAUCUCUCUAAACUCUUAUCUUUUACUUUCUACUAUUUACUUUAUUAUUUUUAUUUAUACUACUCGUUUUACUUUGAUAUUAAAGAAUACUUACACAAUUCUCUUUUUAAGUAACAAAACAUUAAAUUUAAUCGCGAUUUUUGAAUAUUACAAUUCACUCAUCUCUCGUGCUUGAAGUCAUUUGUCCAACAUCUUCCUCCUUUUUCAAAUUUUUUAUUUCUUUCAAUCUUAAAACAUGUUUUCUUUAUCUUUACGACUCAAGUUUUAAGGCAUACUUGAACAAUGUUGUACCUUGACUUUAAACCACGGUGAUGUUAAUUUUCCCAUCAACCACCUUGUUACCUCUCCGAUUUUAAUCAUCAUUCAACAACUCUGAUCAAGUUUAAGUCAUGCUUAAACCUUGAUAUUUCCAUUUGCAUACACUUGUUUCCAACCAGUUUUUCAUGCUUAUGUAUGAAGGUGAGAAAAAUAUACAAGAAGGGGGGAGGGUAAAUUGUGUAUGGCAAAGUUUACACACAAUUUAGAAACCCAUUCCCAAUACCCACACAUAAAUAUAUACACGGAUAUAGAAAUGCGACAAAGCAACAAUAAAGGAAACAUACAACCAAAGAAGAAGAAGAAACAAACAAUGCUAACACAUAAACAAAAAGCUAACCAAACUACGGUGGACUCGCUUAGGAAAAUCUCCCUAGUAAAUUCGUCAGUUGUCGCAGUGUAAAAAAUACUCAAGCGUAAGGAAUGCUCAAAAUAUAAACAAAAUAGAAUCACCACCAAACUUUAUUUAUUCCCAGAAAGGGAAAGGGAAAAUAUCGAUAAAAACCAUGAAAAACAAAAAGAAACAGUCGUCGUAACCAAAUCGGGAUGUAUUAACACUCAUCACAUCCAUUGUACUAAAUGAGACGCAUUUAGUUAGUUUCAUAUUAGAGUGUUAGCAUGAUACUGUAUGCGAUCUUCUACCUAUCGAGUGAGAAAAAAAAGAAAAUAAAAACAUUUUUAUUAAACGGAUGUUUUCUAACAUUAAUAUGUCGGCCAAGAUUUCUCAAUCAUGCUCCUACGUAUCUCUAGGUGCUAUGCAAAACUCAAGGCUAUGUAGUUCUGCUAAAAGGGAACUACUGGAUUGAUUGAUUUUAGAGAGUGAUGUUUAGAUCACAUUUGAGUGAUUAAACCUUUACUUGUUGCUCACUCUUGGAGGUUGAAGUCUUUGUUUGUUUUUCGUGUCGAAAUGGAGGUAGCAUACUCGUUUCUGAAAAUGUGUCAGGGGUCGCACAAGGGCAAAAAACAAGUUUGAUUGGUUAAGUUGAUUUUAAGUGGAUAUAGACAUUCAAAUAAUAAGCUCUACUUCAGUGCUCAAAUGCCCAAAAAGAAAGAGACUUAAGCCCAAUCACUCUCUUUUCUUCCAAAAGUUUAUUGAUGAAAAUGUGUGGCAAAUUAAGUCAAAGUUCAUUAACGGAAGAGGAUUAUUCAAACAGGAAGCUUUACUGCAGUGUCCAAAUAAUCAGAAAAGAGAAGGUCGAUACCUAAUUAAUCUUUUUCUUUUAUAAGAGAAAUGACAUAAUUAUAGUAAUUAUUGUAUUUUAAUAUGGAAUAUGAUGUUCGAACAUGGAACUCUACAACAUUAUCUUAACAUUCGAAAAAGAGAAAGUCUAAACCUAAUCAGUUUCUUGCAUUUUUAUCGUGAAAAGCUUUAAAAACAUGGGGACGACUAGAUGUUGGAUCAAGUGUCUGAGGCUGAUUUAUCAAAAGAGUUUGGGUGUGACGGGGGAGAUGUUUGACUUUGCAUUCAAUUUGGAAAAAAGACUUGACGUUGGAUCAAGUAUUUAUUUUUGUUCUUUUUUGAAAAAACUUUGAUUUUAAUCUUUGAAUUAAUAAUAAAUUGACAUAAUAUCAGUAAAAGAAAAAUGGUAAACUUAUUAUACUUUUACUGGAACAGAGGGUACAAUUUGUCAAAUGGGGAUACAAUACAACAACUUAACAAAAACAAACUCAAAAAGCAAACUGUAAAUAACAAAAAUCUCGUUGUAAGAAAGCCCAAGAGAAAAUCAAUUGACCAAAAAUAAAUCGGAAAUUUUAACUACAGAAUUUAGCGAUAUGUUAAGCAAUCGUAAAGUGAUUCGUGUAGGAAUCACUCUAUCUGAUGUUGGUCAACAAAACUAUAUGCGUUUAAACAAUUUCAGAAGUUAAAUUGAAUUUUUAAACUCCAAAAUUGCAAUGCAUUUCUGAAAAACGGAUUAUUUAAACGAUUUUUUUUUAAAUGAAAACAAACGGAAGUUAAACUAAAGAAUUUAAUGCUAUAUUAAGCAAUCGUAAAUCGAUUCAUAUAGGAAUCACCCUAUCUGAGACCGGUCAACAAAAUUUUAUGCGUUUAAGCAACUUAUGAAGUUAAAUUGAAUUUUUAACUCUGAAAUUGCAAAUGCAUAUGUGAAAAACUGAUGAAAUAAAUAAAUCAUUUUUUUAACAACUAAAAAAAUUAAUCAAUUUAAUAAAUAAAUAAAUAAUGAUAAUAAUAAACAACAACAAUAAUAAUAAUAGUAGUAAAUAAAAAAUAACCAUAAUAAUAAUCAAUAAUAAUAAUUAAUAAAAAUAAUCAACAAAAAUAAAUAAAUAAUAAUAAUUAGGAAAUAAUAGUCAAUAAUAAUACUUAACAAUUAUAAUCAAUACAAAUAAAAUGAUAAAAAUUACAACAACAAUAAUAAUAAUUAAUAUCAAUAAUUAAGAAUAAUAAUCAACAAAAAUAAUACUAAAUAAUAAUAAUAAUAAAUAAUAAUAAUAAUAAUAAUAAUAAUAAUAAUAAUAAUAAUAAUAAUAAUAAAUGAUAAGGAGGUGGCGCCUCAUGUAGUUAUUAGUGAAAUUAUAUUUUUGUAUUUUAUAACUAACCAAUCAUUUAAAGACACGUCUCAAGACUUAAAUAAAAAAGAGUGGUGCAGUAGGGGCAACACCUCUUUUCUUUCUGAUUUAGAAAUAAAACAAAUUUUGACUUUCCAAAAAAUAAAAUUCUUCCUUUAAAAAGGAGACAUAUGGAUGGCAUCAAUAUUAAAAAUAAGAAAGAAAAGAAAAAUAAGCAAGAUCUAAAAAAAAAUUGAAACAAACAAAUAAAAGAAAGAAAUUUCAACAGAUAAUUUAAACAUACUCUCUCAAUCAAAACGUGUGAAUACUGUUGGGGAAGUUUUUUUUACUAGGGAGCAUUGAACAUUGUGAGACUUCUUUUCUAGAGCAACUUCUUUGUGAGAGACACACCACAUAUUCACCUAAAACCUUAAGGUUAUAGGUGAGUGGAUUCUCUCACUCAUAAAUGCUCAAGUCUACACAUUUAUAUCCAAUGUGAGACUAUUGUCCAUACUACUCACACUUGAUACAUUCUCAACACUCCCCCUCAAGUGUGAGUCUACAAUGCCCCCUCCCCCCUCAAGUGAAAGCUCUUCUUACUUCCAUAGACUCUUGUACCGCACAAAACGUUUCUUAUUCAUCAUACUGACGCUGUUGACACUCUUCAACGGAACAUUUCUUAUUCACCAUACUGGCGCCGUUGACUUUCGAUACAAGUAACAUGGUCCCUUUCUGAAACCAGGCUCUGAUAUCACUAUUGGGGGAGUUUUUUUCACUAGGGAGCAUUGAACAUUGUGUGACUUCUUUUCUAGAACAACCUCUUUGUGAGAGACACACCACAUAUUCACCCAAAACCUUAAGGUUAUAGGUGGGUGGAUUCUCUCACUUAUAAAUGUUCAAGUCUCCAUAUUUACGACUAAUGUGGGACUAUUGUCCAUACUACUCACACUCGAUACAUUCUCAACAAAUACAUGGAAGAGAAUAAAAUUUAAACACAAAAAGGAGGAACAACUACUUACCGAUCGCGAUGAUUAUAUUGAAGUGAUAUCUUAUGAGGUGAAGAUAAAGUUGGUGUGUUGAUGUUGUUGUAUGUUGGUCAUGUAGGAGUUUGAAGUGUUAUGUUCUCAUGGUUUGUGUUGUCGUGGAUGAAAUAAGAAGUGAGGUUUUUAAGAUGAUAUUAUGAUGUUGUUGUUAUUUGUUGAUGAUGGUGAUGAAGUGAAGUUGCUGAAUAUGAGGUUUUAUGUUGUGUUGUUGUUAUUUGUUGAUGAUGGUGAUGAGGUUUUCAUGAUGAAGAUGAGGCUUUAUGUUGUUGAAUGGUUUGAAAGUGUUUUGUAAUGGUGAUUUGAAGUUGUAGAUAUGGUGAUGAUGGUAGUUGUUGGUGAGUUAGAUGAUGUUAUGUUGAUGUUGAUAAUGAGAAGAGUGAGGAGACGAAGAUGAGAUGAUGAAGUCGGUGAAGAUGAUGGAAGUUGAAGUUGUGUUUAUAUUGUAUUGAAGAGAUGAUGAAGAUGGAAGAUUUUGGAGUGUGUUUUAUGAAGAGUGUACUUUGAAAGUGACGAUUGUUGUUGGUGUUGUGUUGUUGUAGUGAGAGAGAAGAUAUAUAUUUUUAAAAUAUUUCUGGUAUGUGUUGUGUUGGUGUGCUCUUUUAGAUAGCAGCAGUAAGAAAAGAAAAACAUGAGAAGAAUGAAGGAAAGAGAGAGAGAAGAAGAGAGAAAGAAAAAAAAUCUGAGAAAGAGAAAAAGGAGAGGUGAUGUGUAGAGGAAGAAGAGGAAAAAAAGAAAGAAAAGAAAAGAAAGAAAAAAAAAGAAAAAAAUAAACCCAAAUGACAUCCUCACAUUGGUCAAAAAUAAAUUUAAUUGAUUUUAAAUAAAAACAAAAAGGUUUAUGUUGAUUAGUGGAUAAAGACAAAUAAUCUCUUUUUUAAUUCUACUAGUUAAAUUAAAAUACACAAACAUGAAUUAAAAUUGAAUUGAAAACAUAGAUGAUUUUAAAUAAUUCUCCCGAUUAUUUUGGCAAAAGACACAAAAUAACCGAAUAAAAAUCGAGUGCAAAAAUGUCUGUAAAAAUAAACUGAACGCAUUAAAAUUAUCAAUGCAAAAUAAAAUUCUCGGAAACAUACAGGUUUUGAUCGAAUUUUGAAAUGAAAAUCGAUCGGUUAAAAUGAUCAAACUGACAAAAAAUGCGACUGAAAAAAAAAAGUCAAAAAAUUAAAAUGAGCACGUCAGGUUAAACUACACAAACCGUAGGUUAAGAAUACUAACAUCUGCAAGCUCGAUUUUGAAAUUUUUCGCCCGCUAAGUCGACAUAUAGUUGAGAAACUAUUUGCCUAGUGUGUGUAGAUCCGAAAAAUGAUUCUGGUUGAUAUUUUAAGCGUUACACGAAACAAAAUGAAUGAUGUGAUGCGUAGAUAAUGCAUAUGUCUAGUGAAUGCAUUGAUUAUUAAUCAAGAAAUUAUGAAUAAACAAUCGAAUACAAAUGAAUCGCUCUUGGACCAUUCGCUUCUGAUUCUCAAACAUAAUCAAAACCCUACAAAAAUUCAGAUGGCGACAGUACUCUUGCAUGUCACCCUCUAAACCACUGAAACAUGAUAGAAUGGAAAUAAAAGAUACACUGAGAUUUAGACAUCAAGUAUUUUGACUUCUUAAUCAACAAAUGACUAAAUGAAUGUCAUCAAGAUCAUAUACAAAUGCCAUAACUCUUGACUUUUUAUCUAAGCCCAUGAUGAAUGCUUUUGACUGAAAGAAUGCAUGACAAAAUGAACGAUUGCAUUAUGCAGAUGCAAUUGAAGAAAGUCAUGGUAAAAUUUAGGGUAUGACACCUUCCAACAAGCACCUUCAAUUCACAUGUUCUCCUCCACAGAAAUCGCACCUAAGUGCUUGUACCUGGCUCACGUUAGCUUUACAUAAGCUUUUUUCAGCUAACUUUUUAUUUACCAAUUCAAUUUGAGCUAAAAGAGCAGUAUGGGUAUCAAUAACUAACAUACCUUUAGGCGUGCCCACAGUUUCAAUAUGUACCGACCUUUCGCUUUUUGAACGAUAUUCAUUCAUAUACAUCUUUUCAAUAAGGUCUUUUAUUUCUGGUUCGGUAAUUUGACAAAUAAUACCCCCCCCCCUCGCGUGCGCGUGCGCAAAAGCAUCCAAAUAACAUACGAUUUUGACUCUUAAGACCUUUGAUGAAGUUUUUCAUAUGCUCCAUAUUAUUUAUAUUAUGAUCCAGGCAUCUACGUAAUAAAAGUUUGAAUCUUUCCCAAGAUACAUAAAGUGACUCAGUUUCGUGUUGCUCAAAAUUCACAAUUGUUGCUCGCUGCUUAGUAAACUGAGUAGUAGUGCAAAAUCUUUAUAGGAAUUUAUUAUCCAAUUCCUUCCAAGUUCGAAUUUUUCUAUUUGGAAGGCAAAGUAAUAAAUUUUCCGUCCUUCCAAUUAGUGAGAUCCCAAACAACCUCAAUUUAACCUAGUAUUCAGUGGCAUUAGUUGGUUUGCACAUUGAAGUUGUUUCGUAGAAACGUGCAAGAUGCGCACAUGGAUCUCUAAUCACGUUCUCGUCGAAUGAAUUUUUUCUUAAACCUGAAAGUACAUAAUUUUUAAUAUCAAAGUUAGCAGGGUCUGCCAGUACAAACCCUCUCAAAACCUGUCAUUCAUCGAUUCUUUUACAGUAGUCCCUCAUGGUUAAGGGUUGUGUAACUGCCAUGGUGACUUCCUCUUUAGAGUCAGAAGAAUUUGAUAGUUGUUAUUCUAUUGAUAUUCUGUCGUCUAUAGUUGCUUCUCUAGCUGCUUUUCUGCGAGCAUGUGUGAUUCUUCCAAUCUCUGGAUCCAAUGGUAUUAAUGUUGAUCUUGAACUGCACAUACAUAAACAGAAAAUACCCCAGUAGCACUAUGAUAAACAAGAAAAUAAAACAAAAAAAAGACUAAAAUUAAAAUGUUAUACAAACGUCGCCUUGUUAAAAAAUCAACAGUCCCCGACAACGACGCCAAAAACAUGGUGACUUCUCGGCAAGUGUACCGAUAAUGUUGAAGUAAUAAAAAGAUCGAAUCCACACAUAAUGCCUUCAAGCAAGAUAAAGUAUGUGGAAUGUAUAAAAACUAGUAAAAUGGGGGGGUCGAGUUUUUAUGCGAAAAGUAAAUAAACUAGUAAACAAAAUCACAAAAACUGUAAGGUUGUGUUUUAGAAUCUCAUAUUCCUCUAUUGUUGAUGUUUAAUGCCCUGUAUGAAUGAUCUUAUCAAUACAAUCCCAUGAUGAAUUAACAAAACCGUUAUAGCUGAUCCCUCACGAAAUAACUCACUAACCACUACUCAGAGCUUUCUAUCUCUAGUCCGUCAGCGUAAGUAGAGUUAAGCAAUGUAUAGAACGUUAAUUCCAUAUGCCAUUACCCGGGGUCUCCUAGUCAACCAGCGUAAGUACAACAAUUGUCUUAGGUCCAAUAUAUAAACUAAUGGUCCCUAUGUGCCCAAAAUGAGAUUAAAAUAGUAUCUCACAUAAAAAUCAUUAAGAAUAAUAAGCAAUUGAAUGACAUUAUAAAUCAAAAGGUUCAUACAAAGUCAAAUCAACAUAGAAUCCAACAAUAUUUAAAUAGGUUUCACUCUAACACAACCUAACCUAGAGGGGCUUAACUACUUAUAAUUCAAAUAAUAAUAUCAUAAUUGAUAGAUGAAAAUAACAUAUAAAAUCCCUUGAAGUAAUGACCUCCAAUGACUUCAAAUGCUCUAAAAAUCACCCAUCAUGCUCUCAAAAUCAUUCUUUGCUCUCUCCAAAUCGUAACACUUGUGAAAGUGCAAAAAAUCCCCUUUUAUUGGCUUCAGAAUAGACCAGAACGUGUGAAAAAAGCCCAUAAAAAGUGACCAUCACGCGCAUGAUGAUUGGCAUCACGCAUGCGGUGCAACUUUUAUAGGCAUAUCGUGUGCGCGAUGCAACAUGGAGGUGCAUGUGAUCAUUUUCAAAUCUGCAUCCUUUUUUGCUCAUUUUUCACUCAAUUUUUUACUAAGUCCACAAUCUUCACACUUAGCUAUUUUUUCUCAUUCUUUGGCCAUUCUUCUUCAUUUUGGCUCAUCUUUCACUUGUUUAGAUCUGAUUCUUCGAAUAAAUAUAUGCAAUGAUGGACUAUCAUCAUACUGCAUACUACAACUUAAUUUGGACAAAAAAGAAAUUCGAGAAGUUAAACGUCAUACCCCAUCCACUUCUAAAGGAACAAAGUCACUAGGGUUGGACAAAAUAUUUGAAACCGGACCAAACCAGCCUACCCAUUAGGCCCGCAUGUUUCCGGUUCGGGUGAACCGGUUUUUCGGAUUAUCAGGUUAGUGGUUUCUGGGUUUAUAUGGGUUUAUCCGGGUCGAUUUGGAUGGUUGGUUUGGGCCCUUAGAAAAUUGAAUCCGACCGGCCAAUAAUUUUAUUCUGCAUUAUUUUUUUAUUAUUGGGCUGGACUGGUUGAAAUUGGACUCACUAGGCCUAAGAUAAAAAGAUAAAAAAUACAUCAUUCAUUUGUUAUUCAUUCUCAAGUUUCUAGGAUUUCCGAAUUCAGAUAAAAUGCAACAACUCAACGCCAUUUGAGUUCAUGUUCAAGUUCUUGAUGCUGUCGCACAACCACCACACCACCAGUGUUUAAGAUCAUGUAAGUUUCACUUCCUUUCCGUUGCUCUCUUUCUUCUCCUUCUUCUAUCUUUUAUUUCUAUAUAUCUCUCUAACAACUUAAAACUUCCCUUUUUAUGUCACCUCCACAAAACUGAAAUGGUGAAUUUUUGUUUGAUUAGCACUUUCUAAUCCUAUUUGAGGUAUCAAGUUUGAAGGACUGAUGGCUGAUAUGCUCAAUCAUGAUUCAUUAUGAUUGUGACUUACUUUUUUCUUCUUCUUUCAUAUAGUGAGGUUUGAAGGUUUGAAGCUCCUAUUUGAGGUAUCAAUUCUUUCAUAUAGCUGCCGCCAUACACCACCACGCUACCACCUCGCCACCACCUUGUGCAUCACCGAUCAUGUAAGUUUCAUUUCAUCGUCCUUGUUCUCUUUCUUAUUCUCUCUAUAUUUAUCCUUCCCCUGGCAUGUGGAGAUUUUCAAGAAAAAUAAGGAUUUGGAGAUGUUUUUAACACUUAUUUGGGUUGGUUAAUGGCCAUCAAUAUUUGUUCUUUGUCUCUCAAGUACAAUGACUGGGUUGUUUCAAAGAUAAUAUUGAACAAUAAUUUUGCACUUUUAUUAUAAACUUUAGUUAUUGAUAUUAUAAACUUUAUACUAUUAUAUGCAGGGAAUAAAUUUGAGUUAUUGAUAUUGAACAUUCUCUUGUGUUUGGUAAUUGGAAAGCUUGGCUGCAUAGUAUGCUUGUUGACUCUGUUGGAAACUUUCUAUUGAGGUUUGUAAAUAUUACUCAAGUAAAUGUCGCAUGUUUUGUUAUGUUUUACAACCUGAAUUAACUAUCUUUCAUUAAGUGGAAAUCUUGUGAACAAUUUAUAAAAAGUGAACAACUCUGAAACUUUGUGUGAAUGAUUUAUAAAAAAUUAUGGAUCAAUUAACUUAUUCUGGAACAACUCUGAAAUCUUGUUAUAUUUAGAACUUGUUUGAUAAUUCUAAUAUUUUUUUAAUAUUAAUAGAUGGAGCAUGGAGUUGAAGAUGGAAACUUGCAUGAAGUUGGAGUUGAUAGCAUACAAGUAGUUACUUGAGGUAUUAAAGUGUUUUUGAAAAGUGUUAAAUGGAUGGGUGUUUUAAAAGUGAUAUAUGGAUGUCGUUGUGAUAUAUGGAAGUUGUUGUGUUUUCUUAAUAUUCUACUGUUAACUUUUUCUUAAUUAAUUAUCCAAUAAAUGAGUUACUUAAUAAGUGAUAUAUGGAUUAGUUUUAUUAAUAAAUUCUAAUAACAACAACAUAUCUUGUUAAUAUUUUACUAAAUGAAUAAGUUAAUUAAUAAUGUUUUCUCAAUAAGUUAUCUAUGACAGCAAUGUAUUUUUAAUAGUUUGAAAUGGAUAAGUGUUUUAAUGUAAAUUAAGUACAGUAUGAAAAUCAAGUAUUUUUAAUAGUUCGACAACAAUGUAUUUUUAAUAGUUUGACAGCAAUGUAUUUUUAAUAGUUUGAAAUGGAUAAGUGUUUUAAUGAAAACUAAGUACAGAAUGACAAUAAUGUAUUUUUAAUAGUUUGAAAUGGAUAAGUAUUUUUAAUAAGUAUACUUUAUGAAAAUCUAAUAAUACCAUAUGUCUAUGGCAUGAAUUUAAUGUUUUUAUGGAAAUUCGUAUUGUAUACUUUAUGGAAAAUCUAAUAAUACCAUGUGUCUAUGGCAUGAAGUUAAAGUUUUUAUGGAAAUUUGUAUGGUAUGUGUCUAAUAGUGUGUAUGGCAUGAAUAUGUGUUUUUUUUUAAAUGUUAAAUGAUUGUGUAUUUAAGAGUGUGUGUGUUUAAAAGUAUGUGUAUGACUGUUUUUAAUUUACCACUAUUUUUUCAGUCACAGAACGUCCUAUUUCCCUUAUUCAACCAACACAACCAGCAGACGCUGGUGCUGCAAUCCCUUUCAUUCCCGCUGAUAGAAAAAAAGGAAAGAAAAUACUAGUGGAACUAUGAAAACUUCCCCUAUUUGGUUAGACUUUAACAUUUUACCUGAUGAGCCUGAACCAAUAGCCGCGUGUAAACAUUGUCACAAAAGAUACUGAUGCGACCCUAAAACACACGAAACAUCUAACAUGUUAUCUCACUCGAAAGUGUGUCAUAAAAACCCUAACCUUUUACUGAAAGACCAUACACAAAGAACCUUGUAAGUGGUGACAAUGGUUUUUUAGGUUCUACGAGCCAAAGGUUCAAUGUUGCAGCAUGUGGGAAGGGCAUUAACACCUUUGUCAUCUUUGAUGAGUAACCCUUUAGAGUGGUUAAAGGUGAGGAUUUUAAAAGACUAUGUAAACAAUUGCAACCACAAAUGGUUAUCCCUUCAAUGAUGAAUGUUUCUAGAGAUUGUUUUCAGCUUUACCUAGAUGAAAAGUCACGACUUAAAGCUCUUUUUAAAUCUGAUUGUACAAGGGUAACACUAAACACAAACUAUUGGAAUUAUGCUCAAAACCUUAGUCAUAUGGACACCAUUGCACACUUUAUUGACAACACAUGGAACUACCAAUUUUUUUUAUUAGUUUUAGUAUAGUUCCAAAUCACAAAGGUGAAACCAUUGGUAAGAAAGUCGAGGAUGUUUUGAAGGAAUGGGGGCUUAGAAAAGUGUCAACAAUUACGCUUGAAAAUGCAACAAGUAAUGAUGUGGUUGUGUCUUAUUUGGAAAAAAGACUCAAGACUAAGAAUGCUCUAAUGGGUGAAGGGAAUUUUUUUCAUAUGAGGUGUGUUGCCCAUGUCUUAAACUUGGUAGUGAGAGAUGGACAAAAAGACCACGAAUUGGCUAUUGAAAGUAUUCGUGAUGUUGUUAGGUUUGUGAGGUCUUCUCCACAAAGAGCUUUAAAAUUUAAGGAGUGUAUUGAAAUUUCCGGGAUAACAUGUAAAAAAAAUCUUUGUCUUGAUGUUUCUACAAGGUGGAAUUCCACUUACUUGAUGUUGGAUGCUGCUAAAAAGUUCGAGGUAGCAUUUGAAAAGUUAGAGGAUGAGGAUCCUGGGUACAUGAAAUUUUUUCACCUUCAUGGUCCACCUUGUUCCGUUGAUUGGGAAAAAGCUAGGGCUUUUGUGAUUUUUUAAAACACUUUCUAUUAAGCAACCAAAGUCUUUUCAGCUUCACAAGUAGUAUGCUUGCAUUCAGCUUUUCAUAACUUGUUUUCAAUUUUGUGUGAGCUUCAAGAAGCGUCUUUGAAUAUAAUACAUUUGUGGCUCCCAUGGUUUCAAAUAUGAAGACUAAAUAUGAUAAGAAUUGGGGAGAUGUGGGAAAAGUGAAUCAUUUUCUUUACUUUGGUGUGAUCUUUGACCAUGGGUUUAAGUUUGGCUAUAUUGAGUGGUGUUUUAAUGACAUGUAUGGGAUUUGUAGCGAACUUGCCAAGAAAAAUGUUGAGUGUGUAAAUACUAGUCUUUUUAAAUUAUACAAUUGGCAUAAAUCUGAGCAUGAUAAGAAUGUUGAGGCUGGUUUAGUAAAUGAACCAUUAGGGAGCACUUCCCUUAGAGAAAUAUCUUCUCAAACUAAUAGUCCAUCAGUUUUUACACGAGUUGAUGCUUUUAAAAGACACUUGAAGGAGAAAGAAACAAUUGGAAAUCAAAAUGAACUAGAAAAGUACUUAGGCGAUCCUUGUUACGGGGAUGGGGAAGAAAACUUUAACAUUCUUAACUGGUGGAAGAUGAAUUGCACUCGUUAUCCUAUUUUAGCAUUGGUUUAUGAUGUGUUGGCAACACCUGUUUCAAGCGUAGCUUCAGAAAGUGAUUUUAGCAUAGGGCGAGGAUUUUAGACAUGUAUAGGAGCUCUUUAAGUCCUGAAAUGGUAAAGGCUCUUAUUUGUUCUCAAAAUUGGUCGAGGCCUUCUAAUGAGGACCUAAAAGUCCUUAAUAUGAUUGAAGAAUAUGAGAUAAUUAAUUCAAUUGUUUCAGAUACUUUAUGAGUCAAAAGAUUGUCUAUUUUAAUCUUAUUUUAAAUAUUGUUUGUUAAAAUUAAGCCUAAUUAUUUAUUUUUAAUAACUUUUGGAGUUUCAAGCAGCUACUGGUGGAACAACUGCUCCUAGACAAGUUGGGCCUGUUUAAUUCACACUUCGGUACGAAUUCGGUUAUUUUACAUGGUUUUUGAUUUUAUAAAUUUUUUUGUAGGUGUGAUUUUUUUUUGAAUGUUUUGGAGUCACUUGUGACUCAACAACACAAGCCUUUGUUUUUUGGAGACACUUUUUGAAACUCAUUUUUGAUGUGUGGGACAUGUAUGAACUGUUGAACUAUGAUUUCAUUCAACAACACAUGUUUUCUUGGCUUGUAUGCUGGAAACCUUGCUUGAUGAUUGGAAGUUCUUGGAAAUUACUUAGGUUUAAAUUAAAGUAUCGCCUUAAUUUAAAGUUAGAAACUUGCUUGAUGCUUGGCUUGUAUUUAGUACUGCUUAUACACUGGUUGUAUUUUAAUUUGUGCAGUGAGUUGCCAGAAUUUAUAGGAGGUACUUGCUCAUGUGCAGAUGAGUGAGGGGAGGUUACCUUAGAUCUGAUAAAGGACCAUAGAAAAAUCCUGAAAUAUUAAAGGUAAUUCUUUGUUCUUUGUUAGAUUUUGGCACAUGUAAUAGGCUGACAUUUAUAGUUCUUUGAAAAUUUUGCCAAUUUUCUGUUCACUGAAGGUAUUCAGAUGUAUAUGUUUAAUUUAGAUGUGUAUAUGUUUACAUAGUUACGUAGUAUGUGUAUAAUAAUGAUAGUGCAAGCUUAUUGUCUGUUGCAUAGUUGUGUAGUAUGUGUAGUAUGCUAGUUUAAUGUCUGUUAGUAAUAUGUAUUGUGUGUGUGUAGCUGUUACAUUGGUUACCAUAUUUCAUGUUAGAUAUCAUAUGUGAAAAUAAUGGUAUCACAAUUUCAUGUAAACAUUGUGUAGUUGUUAACAUAAUGAUUGGGUAAACAUAAUGGUAUGAGAUUUAUAGAAAUUUUUGUGUAGCUGUUAAGAUUAUAUUUCAUGUUAGAUAUCAUACGUAGAAAAAAAGUGCAAUAUGAUGGAAAUUGGAAAGUGCUAGCUGUUACAUGUUUUAUAUAUUAAAAAAGGUGUAAUAUGAUGGAAAGUGCUAGUUGUUAACACUAAAUUUUUGUGUAACAACAUUGUGUAGCUGUUACAUGUUUUAUAUAUUUAAAAAUGGUAAAUUUUCUUGUAGGAUUGAAAGAGUGUUGUGCCGAAUUAGCACUUCUAGCAAGACACUGGGCGAUCAUGUUGCAGAACAUGGCGCAUCAAAUAGUAAAGUUCGUACUUUCCAGCAGGGUCACUGAGUUUUGGUAUAGGCCUACAUACGAGAUUUCUUCUAAUUAAGGUAUAAAAAAUUUUUAGAUGAUUUAUUUAAGCCUUGUUGUUAUGCAUCUCCUACAUGUUGAACCACUCUAAAGUAGAUCUAGUAGAUACUCAUAUCCUUGAUGCAAUAGAUGCAAGAUCAAACUUGGAGUCAAUUUCUAGAUGUUGUUAUGCAUCUACUUUUAAGUUUGUAUAGGGAAAUUCUUCCUACUAUUGGACUUGCAGGUUAUGCAUCUAUUACUUAUCUUAUUGUUCUUGUGGGAAUUUUACUUUGUUCAUGUUAUAGGUAUUGUAAUUUGUAAUAUUGAGCUAAUCAUACUUAUGUCUUAACAUCAGGUCAUGCAUCCUUUGCACUUGUUGAAAUGCACAUGACAAAUUUUGAGCAGUGUGGAGGCCAAUACCAUGUCAUAACAAUCGAAAGUGGUCAAUUAUUCUAGAUUGGAUCAAGGGAGGAGUAGUUUGAAUUACAAAUAUGAGUUUAUUUGUAAAAUAUAUGAAGCUUUAACUCUUAAUACAUUGACAGGUUGUGAUGGAUGACUUUUAAUUUGGAUUACUGUAACAUCUUAAUAGUAAAUACUGUUAGAAAACUUAACUUACUAUGAAUGUUUAACUAUUUUAAAAUUUGGUUUGAAAUUUGAAUGACUUAUUAGGUUGGAAGUAGAAAAGUGUUAAAUUGGAUAGGCCCAAAGUUUUUGUUUACUAUUGCUUUAUUUAAAAAAAUUAUAAUGUAGGUUAAUCUUUUUUGACAAUUAAAUAUCAAUUAACCGAAUAAACCGAUCCGUUUUAACCGAUAAACCGAUUUAACUGAAUCAGAUCAAACCGAUUAAAAAUGCAGUUGGAAUUGGGCCUAACAAAUGAAUCAAUGGUUUCGAUCGGCUUGUCAUAUUGAGCCCGAAUCCAACCCAAUCUGACCGGUGUCCAACCCUACAAGUCAUCAUAUUCCCCUUUAGAGUCUAAAACUGAUACUUACUCCUUAACAAUAUUUAAUUUACUAGAAAUAUUCAUAUUGUGUUGAAUAUGCCAGAACUUCAAUCUGCAUUUGAAUAACUCUAAUUUCUCCUUUAAAACAAAACUGCUUCACCCAAAAAUAAAAAUAUAUUUCCAUGCAGUUUUAACAAAAACAUCUUAAUUAGGUAAAUCCUCUAAAAACAUUUAAGCAUCCUAAAGGACAAUGAUUAUAUAAACCAAAAAUUAAAAUAAUUUGAAGAUAAUUAAACCAACAUCAACGCUAAUCUCUGAAGAAAAAAAUACAUAGUCUGCUCAUAGAAAAAACACAACCACUGAACUAAGUGAAAUGUCUACCAAAGAGAGGCACGCCAACCAAUGCAAAGUCUUUAAUAAACUUGUUAAAAAUGAGAAUGCCAUUUGUUCCCCCUACCUCUACUUUUCCUUUCCUUAUUCGAGAACAUAUGAUUAAAAUCAUUAUAAACACAAUAGUCAGAGUAACCCGAUUACCUAUAGGUUUAAUCAAAUGAGACUAUAACCCUUGCUUACUUCUAAUGUCAUGUGGAGCGUAAACAUUAGCUACACUGAAAGAUCUCUCCAAACUUUUGAAUAUAUCACUAAUAAAAAGCACGCAAUCAUCACUAAUAGAGUAAUCCAUAUCUACAGAAGAAUAAUCCACAAAGUCCAAAUACCUUUACACUAGUUGAAGUCCAAUAAAAGAAUCUCAUAUCAUUAGAGCCCCAAAGUGAAACACAAAGAAAAUCUCCCACAACUUCAAAUUUAGUCUCUCGAAUACACAAACUAUCAUAUUUUUUCUCCUUGAUUAAUAUAUAUACCAUUUUCCUCUUAACAACACCUCUUAAACUCCCCGCGUCGUAAGAAAUAAUCUCUAUAACUAAACACAACACCAUAGCGACAUCAAACAUAACAACCAUUUCCUUCUAUCACCUCUUCCACCCAUUCCUCCACUAACGGAGACACCCCACUCUCUUACACAUUAGAAAUAACAUCUAGUAAAUAACUCUCCUCUAUGUUAUAAUAAACUUUUAUAACAUCACUAAAAUCCCACACAUCACCCACCACCUCAUCAUUAAUUUCUUGCAAACACAACCAAUUCCUCCAAUCCCCAUUAACUAGAAAAUUAAAACUUCUAGAACAUAAAAAAACACCUUGAUGAUUAAUAGAGUUUGAGGAAGAGGAAAGUAUUGCUCCUUCAAUUUUUCAAACCUUUUUUUAUGACUUUCAAUAACGUCUCAUUCGAAGAAAGUCUUGAUAACUUUUUUCACAAGUUGCACCCACAUUUAGUGUUUGACUUCUUAUAACAACUAGAAUGAUAAGAAACUUUCUCACAUUCUUCAACUAGCUUAGAAGGAACAACAUUAACCACACCCCACCCGUCUUUCUGUUGGUGCAAAGGUAUAAUGAAUGGAAAUAUUCUAUUAAGAAUGACGGCUACAAAACAUGAUAAAAGUUACAAUGAUUGUCACCCUAUUUAUAAGCUAAAACUAGGGUUACUAGAAUAUGACAAAAUACUAAAAUACCCUCUAACAAACUUAGGGGCUAAGAAAAUAGUACAAUUAAUAAAUAUGAAUUACUUCUAAUACCAUCCCUUAAUUCAUAUUCCAUCAAAACUUGUAACACCAAUUCCAUNGAUUCCUUCACAAUCACAUCUCUGCUGAAUUCAAUUUUGUUGGUUUCUGGACAAUAGAGCUUGUAUGCACCUGUACUAUGGUACCCUAUCAGAAUCAUCACUUUGCUUCUAUCAUCCAGCUUCUGUCUUCUGGCUUCUGGAACAUGUUUAUAACAAACAGAACCAAACACAUUCAGAUGACUAACACUUUGCUUAUCUCCAGUCCACUUUUGUAUUGGAACUAUUUCCUUUAACUUCUUCGUAGGACAUCGGUUGAGUACAUACGUUGCAGUGGCAACAACUUCUCCCCAGAGCUUCUGAGGAAGUUUCUUCUCCUUUAGCAUGCUUCUCACCAUAUUAAGCAAAGUGCGGUUUCUUCUUUCAGCAAGAUCAUUGUGUUGAGGGGUAUAAGGAGCAGUAACCUCAUGCUCAAUUCCAUUCUCCUCGCAGAACUUCUGGAACUCUUUGGAGUUAUACUCACCUCCACCGUCAGUUCUAAGAAUCUUCAACUUCUGACCACUCUGAUUCUCAGCCUUCAUUCUGAAUUUCUUGAAUUCAUCAAACACCUCGUGUUUAAACUUAAUAAGGGAUACCCAUGUCAUUCUUGUGAAUUCAUCAACAAAUAACACAAAGUAUUUAUUCCCUCCAAUCGAUGCUACUGGAAAUGGACCACACACAUCAGAAUGUACAACUCCCAAGGCAUGUUUUGCUCUUGGAGCAGUUUCUGACGCAAAUGGCAAUCGUGGUUGUUUUCCUUCCAUGCAAACUUUGCAUGACUUUUCAGGCUUCUUAAUUGCAGGAAUUCCAUGUACCAACUUCUUUGAAUUCAGAUGUUUUAAGCUUCUGAAAUUCAAAUGACCAAAUCUUCUGUGCCACAGCUCACUCUCCUUCUCAGCACUUGUUGCACUAAGACAUUCUGAGUCUGCAGUUCUGACAUUCACCUUGAAUGUUCUAUUCCUUCCCUGUUCUGACUCCAUAAUCAACUUCUGAUUGCAGUCAUACAGCUUCAGAAGAUUGUCCUUCAUGGUAACUGAAAAACCUUUCUCAAUUAAUUGUCCCACACUCAUCAGAUUGCUUCUGAUGCCAGGUACAUACCACACGUUCUGAAUCAAUGCUGUUUUCCCAUUGUUCAGAAUCACUCUGACAUUUCCCAUACCUUCUGCAUUAAGAUAUUUGUCAUCAGCACAUCUGAUCUUUGUCCUCUUUUCAGAGUCAAAGUCAACCAGCCAUUUCUUGUUUCCAGUAAGAUGAUUUGAACAGCCAGUGUCCAUAUACCACCAGUCUAUCAGAUCCAUAUCAUCAGAUUCAGAGGCCAUCAAUAGCACAGAUUCGUCAUCAGAACUUCUGGCUAUAUUUGCUUCUUCUGAUUUUCUCUCCUUGUUUGACCAACAGUCUCUAGCAAAGUGACCAAACUUCUUACAACAGUAACAUUGGAUCUUCUUCUUGUCAUACUUCUCUUUUCCCUUCUGAGCAUUCUUUUGUCUAUCAGAGGUUGAGCUUUCUGACUUCUGACCACCAUCAGAUCUUCUCCUGGCUUCUGACUGCUUCUGAUACCUCCUAUCAGAAGUUGCUUUCAGAGCCUGCUGCUCUACUUCCCUUUCAGAAGUUCUCUCAGUCAAACGCAACUCUUGCGCUUCUAGACUGCUCUGCAGCUCUUCAAUUCUCAUGGUGCUCAGAUCUUUGGAAUGUUCUAUUGCUACCACAAUGUAAUCAAAUUGAGAGGUAAGGGAUCUCAAUACCUUCUCCAUGAUUGUUUCUUCAGAAAGAGUUUCUCCACACGCUUUCAUCUCAUUAGUGAUCAGAAUCACUCUGGAGAUGUAUUCAGAAACUUUCUCAUUAUUCUUCAUGUUGAGAUUCUCAUAUUGCUUUCUCAAGGACUGAAGCUUCACCUUCUUCACUGAUGCGUCACCACCAUAACAUCUAACCAGUGUGUCCCACGCAGCCUUUGCUGUCGUUGAAUCUGCAAUCUUCUCAAACACAUUUACAUCAACACAUUGAUGAAUGAAGAACAAUGCUUUCUGAUCCUUCUUCCUUACUUCCUUCUGCGCGUUUUUCUGUUCAUCCGUCGCAUCUGCUGCUACCGGAACAUAACCAUCAGUGACAAGAUCUAGAACAUCUUGAGCACCGAACAGUACACGCAUUUGGAUCAUCCAACGAUUCCAGUUUUUACCGUCAAAUACUGGAAGUUUGGUGUUCAUGUUGCCGUUUCCGUUCAUCUUUCUACCUUGCACAGUACACUCAGAUUUCUCACACAGUGUUUCCCAACCCACAGAAUUAAAAUUCUGAUCAGAUUUUGUUCAAGAUUCAACACGAAUCUAAGAAUCAAAAUCAAACACACAAGACCUCACAUUCACUCGUGUUUCCCGUGUUUCCCAAUGAAUCCGAACCGGAGCUCUAGAUACCAAUUGUUGGUGCAAAGGUAGAAUGAAUAGAAAUAUUCUAUUAAGAAUGACGGCUACAAAACAUGAUAAAAGUUACAAUGAUUGUCACUCUAUUUAUAAGCUAAAACUAGGGUUACUAGAAUAGGACAAAAUACUAAAAUACCCUCUAACAAACUUAGGGGCUAAGAAAAUAGUACAAUUAAUAAAUAUGAAUUACUUCUAAUACUUUCAACCAUCUUGCGAGACUUAGACAACACAAACACCAAUUUCAUCAACGAUAGUGACAAUUGGAUUAAUGUGAAUAUUGUCAUUUGACAUCUUUUAAUCAAAUGGAAAAAUAAUUUAUACACUAUACUUUUUUUUAGAUUCAAAAUAUCUCAUAUUUUAAAAAAAAAAACACAUGCUGAUAAAUUAAUCAAUGUCGUUUUUUGUGUGUUGAUUAUAACAUUUUAUAAAAUUCACUCCCUAUCUAUACUUAAAAAAAAAUUAAGAUAAAUUGAACAUGUUCGACCAUAGUUGUGCUAAGUGUUUAAUAAGUUAAAUUUUAUGUCCCAUUUUUAUUCUUUUUUAUAUUUAAUAUUUUGCCUUAUUAAAAAAUAAAAUAAAAUAAAUAUUUAUAAAGUUAUUUUAUAUUUCAAUGUCAUUUGAUUAUAUAAAUACUAACCUUCAAUAGAAAAAUAAAUUAAAAUUUAAUCAUAAAUAACAUUUCCCUUAAGAAACCAUAAAUAUUAUGUAAAAAAAUCCUUAAAAUAAUACAACUUUCAUUAAAAAAAAACAAGGUUUGUAUAUUGUAAUUGUAUAGUUGAGUUGAGAAAGUGGAGGCAGUGAGAUAAUAGAGUCUCAAAUUCUUCAAGGUUAAGUCCUCGUUUUUGUUUCUCUCUCUAUAUUUCUCUUUCUCUCUCAUCAAGGUUGGAGAUCUCAUCUCCUCCACCACAUCCACCACCACCACCACCACCACCACCAUGCUCUUCAGAUUCUCUCUCCUCCUGAUUCUUCUCCUCUCUCCGGCCUUCGCUUCCGAGUCAGAUCACAAGGUCAGAUUUCACAAUUCCACUCCUCGAUCUGAUUUUUAUGAAUUAGAUCCACCUUUCAAUUUUCUCAGCUUCGUGUUUUUGUUUUCGUUUCUGUUCUAAAUCCGAGUUACAUAGUUGAAUCUUUUGGUGUCAGAUCUCAACUGUUUGCUCACUCCAUUUCAUCAUGCACGCUUCUGGUUGUGCCUUUGAUGUGGAUUUUUAGAUGAUUGCCAUUUCCAUUAGACAUUGAUUUCAAUUCAUGAUAUUUGAUAGGUUUGGAAUUACACAAACAUGAAAAUUCACUUGUGUGUGCGUUAGAUAGAGAGUGCAAUUAUUCAUUGUUUUUUGUAAUAAUAGAGUGAUUAACUAGCUUGUUUACUUUAAUACAUACUUCUUAUUUUACUGUUGUAACGUCGGAGACAUUGGCUAAUAUUCAAUAUUGAAGGAAAUUCAUUGUUGUUUGGUUCCUUUAUUUAGUCUUAGCUUGUAUCCAAACACAAGAUUUGUUGAAAAUUGAGAGGGUGUGUUUUAGAGUUCUUACCUUAUUCUUUUGGGCUGUCUGUUAGCUAUAUUUUUAUCAUUCUAAAGGUUGAAAUGAUGAUGCACAUAUGACAUACCUAUCCAAUGGGAAGUUUGUUUAGAAAAUGAGUUAGUGCUUAGCAGUGCUUAGGUGUUGCAGUCUUUCCCUUUCAUAGGAACUUAUUAGUUUCAUCUGGAUGGUGCAUGCAUGCUGUGUGUUAUGUAUGAACCAUGUAUCUUAUAUUGAUUCAUGAUGACACAAAAAUAAUUAUGUAUAGUACGCUACACUUACAUGAAUGGUCACAAUUAAUAUCUGGAAUGUACUAGGAAAUCUCUUUAAGCAAUUCUAACCUAUUUUUCACAGACUUAACAGAUUAAAGGCGUAUGACUGACACAUGUAGUUACAUUUAAUCACUUUCAUUUUCUCAAAUUAUUACUUGUGUCUACGUGGCAGUGUCAAUAUUGUAUUUGGUAUCUGUGUUUCUUAUACCUGCUCUCCUUUUCUUGAGCUUAUUGUAAUGAUUAAAUUAUGUGUCUUUCUAUAUGUAGCUUCCUGCGGACAAUAGUCAUCUCUUUAAAGCAUGUAGUUUGUUUUAUGUUUUUGCAGUAUCAACAAGAUGACCCAGUUACCCUUUGGGUGAACAAAGUAGGUCCUUAUAAUAAUCCACAAGAAACAUACAACUAUUACAGCCUCCCAUUUUGCCGUCCACCUGGUGAUGCUCCUCACAAAUGGGGUGGUCUAGGCGAGGUCCUUGGAGGCAAUGAACUUAUUGAUAGUCAAAUUGAGAUAAAGUACCUAGGUAUGAAGGCUUAUUUCGUCCUAUUUUGUUUUUGCUAGAAGACCUAGCAGUAGACAGACUGGCUUUAAUAGCUAUUUUCUCUAUUUUUAGGGAAUGUGGAAAGGACCACUUUUUGCCGCUUGAAUCUUGAUGAUGCAAAGGUUAAACAGUUCAAGGAUGCAAUAGAAAAUAAUUACUGGUUUGAAUUCUUCAUGGGUAUGUUAUGCAUUGUUUCUUUCCUGUACCUAUUACUCUGAGAAUUGAUAAAAGAAAUGUACUUGUGGGUAGUAUAAAAAGUUUAGAACUAUUUAGAAGCUCGAUGCAUUUGUUUGUCUUUGUUCUUCUAUAAAAUGAAGACGGUGGGGUAAAUAAUAUCUUACCCAGAAAAUAUUGGCUCUUAGAACCCAGUAUGGACAAACUUCACAAAAAGCACGGGAUUUUUUUUUUGAAAGAAUUACUGUCUUGUCUAUCCAAUCAGAUGCUUUGAAUCAACUUCAAUGAGAUGCCAUUGGAAAAGGCCAACAGUGUUUUAACACAUCUUUUAAAACAGGAAAGAAAAUGAAAACAAAGUGGUGCUUCUAAAGUUGAGAAUAAGAAUUUUUUUCUUUCGAAAACCAAACAAGCCUUUAGAAACUUUUAUGUGAAGUUAUUGCCUGCUAGGCAUUCUUAACCGGUACUAUAAUCACGUUGACAUGAAAAAAAAUGGCACCAGGUCCUACAGAGCUUCCUCUAUGUGUUGGGCCUGCAGACCAUGUUUUGUAACAUUAUCUUUUAAUCUUAAUCUUUUGUUACAUUACACGCCAACAUUCUAUUUGACUACCUUUCUAAUCUCCUUUGUCAUCCCAUUUCAAAUGUUAACAUUUCCUUGGAUCUCCUCAAAACCACCCAAAAAAAGUCUCUCUUUGAAGGAGUCAUUUUUUUAAACCCUCAAUAGUCACCAUUUUGUACCGUGGUUGUUAACUCGAUACUCGAUUGUUUCUAUUAACUUUCCUCUCAAACCGUACUUCCUUAACCAAAGUAGGCAAAGCUGCUGCCCGGCCCUUUGUGGGUUACAGGUUUUUUGGGCCAGCCCAGCUUAUGCGAAACUUUUAAUUUUUACCUAAAACUGAUUUAAGAUACCUUGAAAAACUGUCUAUUCAGCAACAUCCGCCCCUAAAAUUGGAUUCUUCAGCAACAUAGAUGUGCAGCAGUAGUCAACAGGUUGUCAAAAUCGGGAUCUUGCAUAAGAUCGGGAGGAGAUAGAAAGAUCGUAAAACAUAAAAUCGUAACUAAUUGGAAGAUUCUACUCAAUUAUUUUUGUAAGAUCGAGAGGGGGUAGCAAGAUCCUAAAACAUAAGAUCGUAACAAAAAUCGUAAGAUACUACUAAAACGGAAAAUAAUACUACAUAUUUGAAGUAUUUCUACAUGAUAUUUUCGUAGGCAAGCAUAUCCGUAGGAAAUGGAAGCCGCCUGACCGAAAUUGUUGCUCCUUUGUAUCUUGUCAUCCUUCCCGGCCUGUAAUGGUGGUGGCCAGAAGACGGUUGAUCAUGGCCGGAACUGGCCAAUCACACAUAAUCAAUGGUUUUACCAUUUCCUUUCACAAUUUGACUACAACACACGUUUCUACUCAAGUUCUAGAUCGUUCUAGGUGAGUGAGAUCGUAAAAUUGUAAGAUUUUAAGAUUUAAAUCGUUAUUUUGAUAACCGUGGUCAACACACCCAAAUACAUUAAAAAGGUAGUAUAAUAGUUUUAAGUAAUUGAGGGGAAGCCACUACCCAGCCCACAGAGGUAUAUAUAACUACUUGAAAUAACAAUAAACCAGAGAGAGACGGUAAUUAAAAACAAUUUCAUCAAAACAUUUUUAUCUCAAUUUCUGUGGCAAGUAAACUCAAUUGAACACAGCAUUCAUACUUCUUUCACAAGGUGCCACAUUGUAGGGAUUCCCCCAUUACUUCUAGUGCAGCGUCCCUCUUCAUAUCAGCAGUUUUACGCCACUACAGAAGUACAUAUAUACUGGCAUACUGCUUUUUUUGGUGGUAUAUCAUAAAUAAUGGGCCUAGUGUUUUUUACUCUGUGUGUGGGUUGGGCAGUGGGCAAUGUAUAAGAAUUUGCUGGUUUUUUUAUAUGUAAUAAGCGGGGUACUCUGAUUAGAGUUUGAACUUCAUCAAGGUGGGCCAAAAAACCUGGCUUGAGGAACAGGCUUAAAAAGCUGUCCUAGCCCAGUCAUUUUGUGGGUUUUUUUGGGCUGGCCCAACCCAUUUUGCCAGUUCUAGUAAUACUAUCUUGGCAUGACUAUGCAAAUUCUGCAAAGUUGCAAACUUUUCUUUCCGAUUCCCUUGUCAGAAAGAUAUAAAUUUGAGAGCAAGCCACACCCCACACAUGCGUUAUAAGAUGCUCCGGCCAUUGCACCAAGACUUCCCUUCAAAAGUAUAAAGAUUAUUUGUUUAAAGUUCUUUACUAAGCAUUUUUCAAUACCUAGCUGUAGGGAUUAUUGGGGAACUGAAAUUAUGUUAUUUUGAUAAGUAUAACAAUGUGAAUGAGAAUUCGUUCUUUCUGUUGGUUCUUAUCAUUUGUUUUCAUUUUUAUUUAUUUAUUUUUAAAAAUUGCCGAAUAACUUACUUUUGCCAUUGUUUUAUUUUUUGGUUGUUAUAUCUGUUGAUCUUCAAUGCGCUAAAUACAAAUUCAGAUGAUCUUCCAUUAUGGGGUAUGCCUACAACUGCCUUUUUCUCUCCGGUUGAUAUCAUUUUGUGUUUCAUUUGUUCAUCAUUAUCGAAGGGUCUUUUAUUCAUGUUUAAGGGUAUGUUGGAGAGUUGCAUCCUGAUAAGAACAGUGAUAGUGGCAAGCAUGUCCUUUACACACACAAGAACAUCAUUGUUAAAUACAAUCAAGAUCAGGUGAGAUAAUUGUUGGGAUAUCUUUGCUACUUUGUUAGCUGUUUUGGGAGGUUCAUGAGGUGCCAUUUUAAGAUCCUCUUUUUUUGCAGAUCAUUCAUGUGAACCUCACCCAUGAUGACCCAAAACCUUUGGAAGUAGGAAGAUCGUUGGACAUGACAUAUUCUGUCAAAUGGAUUCCCACUAAUGUCACUUUUAGACACCGGUUUGAUGUAUAUCUGGAUUAUCCAUUCUUUGAGCAUCAGGUGAAAAAUAAAUUCUGCCUGUUGUAUUUUAGCUUGAAUUGGUGCUUAUGUGCCAUUGUUUACUUGCUUUGUUCUCAUUCUUGUGUUGUGGUCGUUUCACUGAUCAAACUCUGCUUCUCUGACUUUUUGUAGAUUCAUUGGUUCUCCAUUUUUAACUCUUUUAUGAUGGUUAUAUUCCUUACUGGGUUGGUGUCUAUGAUAUUGAUGCGAACACUGAGAAAUGACUAUGCAAAGUAUGCUCGGGAAGAUGAUGAUUUGGAAACUCUGGUAAGGCUGUGUUAACUUUUGUUUUUUUCCCCAUGUAUUUGUGGAAUAUAUGUAUGGAAUUUCCAUUGUGAUUCUGAUGAUCAAUUCUUUGUCAACACUGAAAUGGUUUUAGGAAAGAGAUGUCAGUGAAGAAUCUGGUUGGAAACUUGUGCAUGGUGAUGUUUUUCGGCCUCCUCGCAAUCUGGCACUUAUUUCAGCUGUAGUUGGUACAGGUGCUCAGCUUGCAUUGUUGAUUCUUCUUGUCAUCUUGUUAGCUAUUGUUGGGAUGUUGUAUGUCGGGUAAGUUCUUGACCUUGAAAUAGCUAUAAUGUUACUCUGAAUGAUUUUAUCAAUGAUUGUGUACGAAGUGGACUUGAUGUACAUGCACGUGUUAUCUUCUACUUGUAGGUGUAUGUCUUGACUAUCAUUGAGUGAUCCAUUGCUAUAGUUUUCCUGUUGAAUGUAUUUUGUUUGCUCAUUUCUUCUUCAUUAUUAUGCACAUUUACUUUAAAAUGCAGACGAGGAGCCAUCGUCACAACUUUCAUUGUAUGUUAUGCUCUCACAUCAGUCAUUUCUGGUUAUGUAAGUGGGGGGAUGUACUCACGUAAUGGGGGUAAGACUUUGCAUUGACCUGUGCUGUAUGUUCUCUUCAAGUUUGUUUGGGUGGCUCGCCCUCUUUUUCAAUGAUUAUGACUAUGCUUAUCUUUUCAGGUAAAAGUUGGAUUAAAUCCAUGAUCCUUACAGCGUCUCUGUUUCCAUUCUUGUGCUUUGGAAUUGGAUUUAUCUUAAAUACUGUUGCUAUAUUCUAUGGAUCUCUAGCAGCAAUCCCCUUUGGUACAAUGGUGGUUGUCUUUGUUAUUUGGGCUUUCAUCUCUUUCCCUCUAGCUCUUCUUGGCACAGUUGUUGGAAGAAACUGGAGUGGUGCUCCAAAUAAUCCUUGUCGCGUCAAGACCAUUCCUCGUCCCAUUCCUGAAAAGAAGUGGUAUCUCACACCCUCUGUAGUUUCUCUGAUGGGUGGACUACUUCCCUUUGGCAGCAUAUUCAUCGAGAUGUAUUUUGUAUUUACUUCCUUCUGGAAUUACAAGGUGAAUUACAAUGCAAUAAAGUUAGUUUGUUUCUUCAAUUCUGAUUGGUCUUGUGAAGAUUUACUUGCACUUUAUCAGAGCAGAGCCAAUAGUUAUUUAUCAUGGAGAUUUUUCUAUACGAUGAUUUUUCAAGUAGCAACUAUUUUUCAUGUCAAAGCUGAGUAAACACACACCAUCUUACAUGUUUUUCCUUUAUUUUUCUUUCCACUUCCACUUUGUGGCCAACAGGUGUACUACGUCUAUGGCUUCAUGCUACUGGUUUUUCUGAUUCUCAUAGUUGUUACCGUAUGUGUGACAAUUGUGGGGACAUACUUUUUAUUAAAUGCUGAGAACUACAACUGGCAAUGGACUUCUUUUCUUUCAGCAGCCUCAACAGGUGUUUAUGUAUAUUUUUACUCAAUAUACUACUACUAUGUGAAGACAAAGAUGUCAGGCUUCUUCCAAACUAGCUUCUAUUUUGGAUAUACUAUGAUGUUUUGUCUUGGACUGGGAAUUCUCUGUGGUAAGUUUUCAGUUUAAUUUUAUUCUUCUUUAGAAUCAUGUAUUCACUCUGCAGAAAGGACAUAGGGUUCCUUAAUGAUGUGUUGAAUACCUUAUAACAAUAAUUGUUGACGUGUUCUUAUAUCACCUUCCUUAAAAUGAAGUUUUUGUUCAAAUGUGCAGGAGCUGUGGGUCAUCUUGGUUCGAAUUUGUUUGUGAGGAGGAUCUACCGGAAUAUCAAGUGUGACUAAGGCUUCUCUGUGUCGAGACCAGAGCAAUUCCAUAUGUUUAUUGCUGGAGAAAUUACUUCUUGGAGGAAGCUUCUGGUCAUGUGUGGCGGCGACCAAGCAAUGUUUAUAGGUAGUAUGAUGGGUUUCUGAGGAUGGGAAUGUAUUCUUUCUCUAUAUCAGGGAAGCCCUGAGAUUUUUUCCCCUGGCUGUAAUUGAAAGCCUUGAUUUAGCAUGCAGGGAUUGGCCUUUAUUAUAAUUCAUAAUUCAGAUAGUAAGUAGCUAGCAAAAUAUAAGACUCUUGUGGUUUCUUUUUAUGACAAAAAUAGGUGCUCAAUCGACGAACUGAUGUCUGAUUCCCCGCGGUUUAUCUAUUGUACUUUGAGGGGAUGAAGUCUGAAUUUUGUAUCAAAUCUGUUCUAACUACUUCCUCCACACAUUCCUUCAUGUUUAAAUUUUAAAUCAUCGACAAUUUUUCAUUUUUGUCUUGUAUUGUUUUUGAGGAUGUGAGUACUUUCAGUGUCUCUUGUCUGCUUGUAAGGAAUGCAAUUAGAAUAGAUAAACAAUCUGUGUUGCUGCCUGCUCGGAUUCUUAUCUUUGCUGUUUAGAUCAUUUUUGGUUAUGGGGUAUAAAAAUGCACACUGCAAGGAUAAACAUUGAAUGGACUAAAGGAAUAGCAUUUUGCCCCCUUCAGCAAAUAUUAUCUUGUGUUAGAAUUUGAGAUUUUUUUUUUUAAAAUAACAGAAGAAAAAAAACUAAAAUAAUUUUCAAUCUUUCUUAAGAGGAUGCGUAACUGCUGUGGCACAUCCACUCCUUUUUAGUCAUAGGUGCCAAAUACAUGUGGUGCAUAAUUUUCUGUAGCCAAUCAUAUCCAUGCAUCACCUCUUACGUUGUUUUGAUUAAUUUUUUUAUUUGAAAAAUGGUUAAUUAAUUUUAAUAUUUUUUUAAAAAAUAGUUAUUUGAAGAUUAUUAUUUUUUAAUUAAAAAUGGUUAUUAAAAAAAAAUCAGAUUUGAUAACAAUUAAUAAGUUUAUUAAACAAAAUUUAACAUUUCACAACUCUCUUUUUGCAUUUUAAACCGGUGAUGUAGAAAUCAAGUGGUGGGUAACAUAAAUUUAAUAUGAUAAUCUGAUCAUAUGAGAUUUAAAUUUAGUAUUUAACGAAAAAACAAAAGAUAAAAAACUAAUUAUGAAAUUCAUCAUAUUCUAACUGACUAGUUAAAUUUUUAUUUUGAAUAUCAAUUGGAUUAGAAACAAUGUAUUCUUAUAAAAUAUAAAAAAAGUUAAAUUCUAUUAAAAUAUAAAUGACAAAAAUUGGAAUUAAUUUUUAAAAAUAAAAAAGUAAUUUACUAGUAUUAGAAUAUUUUUUAAAAAUUAUUAAAAUUUACAAAAAUAUAAACAUAUUUAAAGUUCUUUAACAUAUUAAAUAUAUUUUGCUUGUAAGGGUGGUUUUGCUAUCUAUUUGUAAUAUACAUUAUAUAUUUAUUAGCUUAUCUAAAUUAUAUAUUAGAGUUAUUCAUAAUUGAUUCAACUUUUUAAUUUUACUAGUGUUAGUAAAUUUUUAAAAUAGAUUAUAUAAAUUUUUAUACUUAUUUAAUUUUAGUAUUUUAGUUUGAUUUAAAACUAUUAAAAAAUUAAAAUUAAUUUACAAACAUAAUUUUUUUUAAAAGGUAAUCUUAUUAUUUGAAUAUAAUAUACAUUUUAUAAUUUGAGAUGGGUAUAAAAAUAUGAUAUAAUAAAAUGUUAUUUAUAACUGUCAUAUCAUAUUCAUAUUCAUCUCCUUACCAUCUUCUCCAUCCAAUAAUUAUGUGCACUAAACAUAUUUUGAAGUAUUCAAGUUCAAUGUUGGACUUGUAAACUGAUCGGUGAUGAUUUGAACAUUUUAGAUUAUGUGUGGAACAAUUUGACUAACAAGGCUUGCAAUUUUAUUCAUAAUGGUUUGUGAUAUGCUUUGCUUAACCAUUGUCUAAUUCGUUCUUAUCAAUAAGAAUCAAGGAAUCUAUUAUUCCCCCCACACUUGAUAAAGACCUAGCCGGUUUGUAACCAUUUUAUCUCCGAAGAACUCUCUUUCAAAGAUGCUUAUACUUGAAGACAAUUUGGUUUAAUGUGAUUCCCAUACCAAAACCCCGUUAAUUUGAAAAAAGUUAUAAUGUAUUGACUAAUGAUGACUAUCUCAAAAAGAGAGGUUUCAUUAUGGUGUCAUGUUGGAAGUACUCCAGCAACAGUACUUUUGAAGACAUCCACCAUCUCUUCUUUAAGAGGUCUUUUGCAUUAUAAAAUUGGAAUUGAUUCUUAAUCAUAAUUGAGAGGCCCUUAAAUUUCACAUUGAUGCACAAUCUCCUUUCUAUAAUGAAUGAAAAAAAGAGCAUAGUGUUAUAUUUGCAAAAGACAUGGCGAGGGCGACGACCAUAUGCCGCCCUCAGGAAAGGUGACGACCAUAUGUCGCCCUCACGGAGGUAAACCAUGCCCCCAAGGCUUUCCUCUUGUCCAACCUUAGGAAACAUGGGUUAAGACAUUUCUUGGACUGAGAGAAGUCAGGGUCAACAGUUGACCCACAACCCUAUUGAAAAUAGGGAUUCAACGGUCUCAAUUGACUGAGUGGGCGGUCUUUUCCAAAGAAACCCUAAGCGUAAAGCCUAUAUAAAUACCUCUCCCCCAACUAAGGAAGGAAAAAUUCUAACUCAUGUGCUUAUACCUAAGCAUGAGACAUACACUUAUACCUAAGCACCAAACACAUACGCAGAGCCUCUCAACUCAUAUGAGUAGGUCCUCUAAACCACAAUAAACACCCCAUAUAACGUAAUAUACAUGCUAAGGCUUCUGAGUACCCCUGCUUUUGCAUUGAUAACAUGCACACCUAUAGUUUUUGACCAAUAUAGUGACGCCCACCGUGUGACUCGAUAAAACUAAUUUGGGCUACACUUCUUUCAUUCUCACUCCUACCGUCUUUCCUAUAAAGAUGACUAACAAAACUCUACACUCAAAUACAAACACCAUAACCGGAGGUUAUGCUGGUGGAGGUAGCUCUAGCUCCUACAGAAGGGAAUACACAAGGCAGGUGUCUGCGACAAAUGUAAUAUCUCAUGGUUUCCCCAAGGGCGCGUAUGGGGAAAUAAGGAUUAACAUAACCUUUUUCGAUGAGGACAUCAUCGAAGUAAAUCCUCAUGAUAAUGAUCCCAUGAUAAUCACUGUGCAACAUGACAAUUUGGAUAUAAUGCGAGUCUUGAUAGAUUCUGGUAGCUCUGCUGACGUCAUGUUCUAGGACGCUUUCCAAAAAGUACAACUCAAUCCUAACGACGCAAAAAUGUUCAGUGGCUCGUUAAUAAGAUUGUUAGAUGAACUCGUGCAUGUAAGGGGCCAUGUGACCUUGGAGAGCACAUGUGGCGAGGGCGUAAACACCAAGUUUAUCGACAUCAUCUGCCUUAUUGUGGACACCCUGUUACCAUAUAUCAUCAUCCUGGGGCAACCCGCCAUCAAUGCACUAUGACCGGUCAUUUACACCCUGUACUUAGUCCUGAAGCAUCCACUGCUUGGAAAGCGAGUCAUCACGAUCCGAGGAGGCCAACAGGUCGCUCAAGAAUGUUAAUAGAGUAUCCUGGCGACAGAGAAGGAAUAUCUCACCCUUGUUGCUGUCUCCCUUCCUGAAGUUCCAAAAGCUGACCUUAAUUGUUGAGAUCCCAAAUUAGGCGCAAAGGUGGAAAGAAUCAUGUGCGCGAAGGACUUAAAAGAGGUCCAGAUAAUCCCUUUGGUCCAUCAGGUGAUAAAGAUAGGUACUUUACUUGUCGAGGAAGAAGAAUGCAAGCUAGUCGACCAACUCAGUAGAAACGUCGACUUGUUCGCUCGGCCCCCCUCUGAUAUGUCUGGGAUAAACACUAAAGUGGCGAGUCAUCACCUCGCCAUCCAUCCCUUUUCCAAACUAAUGGCACAAUGGAUAAUUCAAAAUAAGGAUGUUAAGUACACUCUCCUCUCGGUAAAGCUUUAUAAAAUGAGGAGAGCUUCCCCAAUGCCAUGGUACAUAGGCGAGCAUGAAACCGCCUUGGUACUGGAAGAAGUACACAAAGGAGCCUACAACUGUCACAUCAACGAAAAAUCCCUCGACCAUAAGCUGUUAAGGGCGAGAUAUUGUUGACCUACUUUGAUGAAGGAUAACACCACAUUUGUCAAGAAGUGCGACCAAUGUUAGAAGCAUGUUGACCUUCACCAUGCCUCAACUGAACUUUUUCAGUCGAUGAAUUCACCCUUCCCUUUUUACCAGUGGGGUAUGGUCAUCCGGAGUUUGUUCCUCUUAGCACCAGGCCAACUGAAAUUCUUGAUAGUGGGAGUUGAUUAUUCCACCAACUGGAUAAAAGUAGAAGUUGUUACUAAAAUCACAGUUUAGAGAGUUCACCGUUUCUAUUGGAAGAAAAUUAUAUGCAAGUUUGAACUUCCCGACGCUAUCCUCUUCUACAAUGGAACCGAGUUUUCUAGUGCUAUGGUCACUGACUUUUGCAAAUAUUUGGGAGUGUAGACGAAGUUUGUAUCCGUUGUACAUCUGCAGGCUAAUGGGUAGGCGGAACCUACGAACAACGUAAUUCUAAAUGGACUAAAAGAGAAGCUCGAUGAUGACAAAGGCCUAUUGGCAGAGCUUCUCCAUGAAAUAUUGUGGUCCUACCACACCACCCUUCAUUCUAAUACUAAAAAAAACCCAUUCUCCAUGGUAUACAGAGCAAACGCCAUGCUGCUUGUAGAAAUUGACAUGCCUCAAUGGUGAUAUUCUCAAUUUAAUCAAGAGAUAAACAAGGCGGGACUUGAAUAUGAAACGAAUAUGGUGGACAAAUCGAGAGAAACCUCCCAUGUUCGAGAAUUCACUGCCAGACACAUGGCCUCCAGAAGAUACAUCUCCAGAGUCAGGCAGAUGGAGAUGCGAGAAGGCGGUUUGUUCUUGAAGUAGGUGGUUUUGCCCGCUCAAUAGAAAAAACUGCAAUCCAACUUGGAGGGACCAUCCUACAUAUUCUAAAAGUUGCCCCACAAGGCAUACAAAUUAGAGGAAUUAAAAGGAUAACUCCUUUCCAGAACUUGGAACUUCCUCCACCUUAAAUAUAAUUACAGUUAUAUUAUUUGUAAUUUCCUAAUAGACAUUGUAAUUAUGUAUAUAUGAAAAAUUUCUUGAAAGUUUAUGACAACAGGAACAUUUUUCUAAAUAUUUUAUAUGUUGGACUUCACGACCAAGAUCCUUGCGGCCCUUUAGGCAAUAUUUUUUAUGCUGAACUUCAUAGUGAAGAUCCUUGUCGUCCCUUGUGGCAAUAUUUUUUAUGUUGGACUUCAUGGUGAAGAUCAUUACCGCUCCCCUUGAGGAAAUAUUUUAUAUGUUGGACUUCAUGGCAAAGAUCCUUAUCGUCCAUUGAGGCAAAUUUUAUACGUUGGACUUCAUGGAGAAGAUCCUUGUUGCCCCUUAAGGAAAUUAUUUUUUAUGUCGGACUUCAUGGCGAAGAUAUUUGUCGCCCCUCAGGGCAAUACAAAUAAGAUAUUCAACGCCUCUUCUGAAGAACUUAUAGUAUCAUCAGUCAGGCUACAUAUAACUUCGUCUAAGGGUCUUAGAUUUUUCAGGCUAUUUAAACUCUCACCUGGGGGACUUAGAGUUUCCUCGGGCGGGACCAAACAUAGAAAUAUUACCCAAAAGGUACGACCAAAGCCUAGCCUAAAAGACUUAGUCACAAGUCUUAUUUGAGGGUUUGAUAAAAGUCCCACCCGAGAGGUCCAAUGUCUCGCCUGAAGAACUUAUAGUCUCACCAAUCAGGCUACAUAUAACUUUGUCUGAGGAACUUAUAUUUUCCAAGCUUUUUAAACUCUCACCUAAGGGAUUUAGAGUUUUCUCGAGCGGAACCAAACAUAGAAAUAUCGCAAAGAGGUGUGGCCAAAGUCAAUCCUUAAAGGCUUAGUAAUAAAUCUUGUAUGAGGGCUUGAUAGAAGUUCCGCCUGAGAUAUUCAACGACUUGCUUGAAGGACUUAUAGUCUCACCAGCCAGGAUACAUAUAACUUUGCAUGAGGGAAUUAGAUUUCCACGCUACUUAAACUCUUGCUUGAGGUACUUAGAGUUUCUUCGGCCGAGACCAAACAUAAAAAUCUUGCCCAAGAGGCAUGCUUGAAGUCUAGCCUAAAAGACUUAAUCACAAGUCUUGUCUAAGGGCUUGAUAGAAGUAUCAUGAGAAAGAUCUAACGCCUUGCCUGAAGGACCUAUAGUCUCACUAUCCAUCCAGACUACAAAUAACUUCGCCUGAGGGACUUAGAUUUCUUAGGCUAUUUAAACUCUCGUCUGAGGGACUUAGAGUUUUCUUGGACGUGACCAAACAAUAUGAUUUCUCUUAAAACCCGACGCCUAACACGUUACACAUAUCAUUAAGAAACUCAUACUCGAGAUACUUCUUCGAGAUACUGCCACGUACCGCAAUCUAAAAAUACUUCGUCCUCUAUCAAGGACCUCAUGCUCGAGGGACUGUAUAGUGUUAUAUAUGUAAAAAUCUAAGCGAGGGCGACGACUAUGCGCCUCCCUUCCGAAAGGAGACGACCAUAUGUAGGCGUCAGGGAGGUACCGUUUUCCCCCAAGGCUUUCCUCUCCCAUAGCCAUGGGAAACGUGGGAUAAGUCGUUUUUUGGGCAAAGAGAAGUGAGGGCCAACAACUGACCCACGCUCCCUUGCAAAUAAGGAUUCAACGGUCUAUCAUUGACUAAGUGGAUGAUAACCUUUUCCAAGGAAACCCUAGGUCCAAAACCUUUAUAAAUACCUCUCCCCAAACGGGAGGACAAAUCAUAAUUCAUACGCUUACACCUAAGCACCAAACACAUACCUUUUAUACAUAAGCACCAAACACAUAUGCAGAGCUUGUCACCUCACGUGAGCAAGUCUUCUAAACCACCAUAAACACCACCAUAUAGGGCUUCUCACCGCCAUACAACAUAAUAUACCUACUAAAGCCUUUGAGUACCCCUGCCCUUGUAGGGGUAACAUGCACUCAUGUACUUUUUGACCAGUACAAGUAAUAUAAGCAAUUAUUAAAAUUAUUUGGUACAUUAUUUUUACAUGAACAAAAUGAGGUUUGAAACCUAAAAUCACACAAGUUGUGGUAUGUGUUUUGUAAGUAUAACCAUCAACUGAUUUUGAUGAUGACAAUUGAUGACAUUUGUCAAGCAACUUUUAAAAAUGAUAACUCCAUAAGUCAAACGACUUUUGGAUGUUGAUAACUCUUUUCAAGAGCUCUUUGUGACAUAUGUCAAAGAGGGAGUUCAACGUAGCUGUUCUAUAACUCUUGAUGAUGUAAUCUGAUUAAGAUAAAGAUACCUUAAGCCCCCAUAAGUCAGAUAAUUCAAAAUAUCUAGUUAAAGUGUCAAUCAAUCAUUGAAUCAAGCAGAUCAUCUUGAAGUUUGAAAGCUCACAUAGUCAUGUGCUAAAUAUUUUAGAGUGACCAUCUUAAAUUGUAAAAGGUAAAGAGUAUGUCUUGAAGUACUAAGACAACCACACGCACUUAAAAUAUUUUCAAACCUUCUCUUCCUUUAUUAAAACUUAUUAAAAACCUAUCCAGACAUUUAUUUAUGUAAUUGAUUAAAAAGUAUUUCUAAUCAAUAUUUUAAUUAAGUUAAUUUAAUAAAAAUGUAAUAUCUUAUAUCAAUAUUAUUGUAUUUUUUUAUCUAUAAAAAAACCUUAAACACAGAAUGAGUAUUGUAUAUGAAGACUUGAGUAAUUAGUUACCACAGUGCACAAUACUUCAUUUUUAAAUACUAUAAGGUGAAGAUGGUGCCAACAAGGAUUCACCAACAAUAUGUGGUGAUAAAAGAGAUAGAUAACCUGAGGCAUAAAACAAUGCCACCUGGCAGAUAGGGUUGCAUGCAGUUCAUAUAGCAGCUUGUUCCAACCACACUAUUUCCACAAGCUCCUUAUUUCAUUCAUUCAUUCAUUCUCUAUCUUUUUAUCAUCAACACAAACACAAAACAGUGUUUGUUCCUUUGAAACCAUAAUAGUAAUGGCAACCACACCAGCUUUGUAUGGAACUGCUGUCAGCACUUCCUUCCUCAGGACUCAGCCAAUGCCAAUGUCAGUCACCACCACAAAAGCAUUUUCCAAUGGCUUUCUCGGUUUGAAAACCAGUCUCAAACGUGGAGAUCUUGCAGUUGCUAUGGCUUCUUACAAAGUGAAACUAGUUACACCAGAUGGAACUCAAGAGUUUGAAUGUCCAAGUGAUGUUUACAUUCUUGACCAUGCUGAAGAAGUUGGAAUUGAUCUUCCUUACUCAUGCAGAGCUGGCUCUUGUUCUUCAUGUGCUGGUAAAGUUGUUGGCGGUGAAGUUGAUCAAUCUGAUGGUUCUUUCCUUGAUGAUGAACAGAUUGAAGCUGGUUUUGUUCUUACUUGUGUUGCUUAUCCUACCUCUGAUGUUGUUAUUGAGACUCACAAGGAAGAAGAUCUCACUGCUUAAUUUUUCAUUUCUGUUACUGCUAUGCUAUGAUAUGAUAUCAUGUUAUGUUUGUUUCUACAAUGAGUAGUAACUCUAUUAAUUCCUUCACCUGUUUGUAGUAACAUGUGAAGUUAAUAAUGUUAUGUUAUGUUGUUUUUUUGCUCACAAUUCUUAAAUUUCCUAUCUUUUCUUCGGUUGACUAUUAUAUAAAAUUUGAUAUUAUUCAUCAAGUGUUUUUGUGUAUUAAGCAUGGAUUUUCAUGUCUAACAAGUAGUUGAUGUAUGAUUAUGGUCAGGACAGGACCCUCUUUGAGGGCGUGCAAGACAGACUCCGAUUUGACAUGUAGGGCUUCGAAAACUUAAGACGAUACUGAUUAUGAUGCUAAAUUUAUUGAUUCUAGUAAUGUGAUAUAUAAUAUACAUCUAUGUUUGAUAGAGUUCAAGAAUGAUUUGCACAUCUAUACUAAACUAUAUAGGAUUCUAGUCUGUUAUGCAGUAGAAAUUUAAAUACAUAUGACACUUAAAAUUGAUCAUGUUUUGUGAAACAAAUCUUGAAGAGUUUCGACUUUAGUCUCGUCUCUGUCGCCAACAUCAUUGUAAUGUGAAUUAAUAUGUCUGGAUUUGGAAAAAUCAGUUGAGUCAUGGAGGUUGUUAGAAGUCACAAAAUUCAACUGGUCUACUGAAGUUACUGUCAUCUGAUUCAAAGACUCUAAGUCUAAUGAAGUUGUUCGAGUCAGCGUCCCGGAUACGAUAGUUAUCUCAUCCCUCUCAUCGAUUGUUGAUUCUAGGGAACAUAUUGAUCUAGCCGUGUGCGAGCGAAGAGAAUGAUCGUGCUUAGACUUCUGUUUUACUCUCUUACACCAACUGUGUAAGGAUUCUCUAACACUUUCGGUCACUAGCGCCUUCUUACAUCGAGAUCCCAUCUAUAGUAACAAAAAAUUUCUGUCACAUUUUUUUUGGAACAAUGUUACAAAUAUGAUAGAAGAAAAUAUUGUUAGUAUCGAAUUACGACAGAACUUUAUGCAGAGAAAGUUUAAAGCCAACCUGUGAAACUAUUAUAUUGAGGGGUACUGUCAUAUAGCUACACCAGAAUUGAACAAGAAUUCUGCAAUUCAUGAUAGUUUAGAAUUGAGAAAAUGUAAGAGUAUACGAACAUUGAAGUAUCGUAGAAUCUGGAAAAUUAGUCGAUAAGGUAUAGAAUGUAUAAUUCUUGUGAGAGAGAUGAAACCGACCCUGAUGUCAACCGAAUGAUGAUCAUGUAAUGAUGUCUCAUGAAGCAUGACUGUUCUUUAAAUCCCCACUACACAUAAGACAUGCAAAAAAUUGAUCGAAGAAUGUGUUGAGAAGAUUUAGUUCGAGUAAUGGAAUAGAUAUAAGCAUAGAUAAAUUCUCGAAAACUUUAAACCUUACCAAUGUCCAAAUAAAUGAAGCCAUUUCAAAGGCAUUCUGCAUGAACAAUAGAGAAAACAAGAACAAAGAAUCAAAAUAAAACAACUAUGAAGAACGGCGCGAUUACAAAUACAUUACAUAUUUUACCUGAAAUAUCACAAAUUGUAUCAGCCAUAACAAAAUAUCUGGUUUGUUGAACCAAAAAAGACCGUCGCGCGGCUUUACUUGUGUACUGGCAGAUGGACCCUGAUGCUGCCUGAUUUCAAGUGCUAAAGUGGAUACAACAUGUUGAAGUUUUGUACCUAUUACCAUCACAAGCUUAACGCGUAGCGAAAUCGCAUGUUAAACCGAAAUAAUUUUCAAUGGACUAAUUCAUUUUGAUUUGUUGAAAAAAUCGAAAACAGAUUAUUAUUAUUAUACAUACAAUUGCAGGUAUAAAGGAGAACCAGAAGUAUAUAUUCAGACCUGCAAAUUUAGAAACUCAAUCAUCUGAAAAAAUCAACGAAGACACUUCAUUCAAUCGACACAUGUUCUAUCGAGAAGAAUGAAAGUUACCAUGGAUGUUUACAAAGAUGCAGACUAUAGUAUAAAUCCAAAGCGGCCAGCUGCAAAAUUUGAAACAGGUAAUUUUCAGAUCUUAGAUAGAGUUCAUCAUUGUUGACAACUUACAUUGGUUUUCAAAAGGUUUCAUACCUUAUUCCUAGAAUGCCAUGAAAUUCAUCUUCCAUGCUUCGAACCAUAUAUUUAUGAAAAUCAUAUGAUAGUGGCAAUUUAUGUUCCUGCAAAGUGGUAUAGAAUAUCAUAUCGGCGACGAAGAAUAAAUCAAAAGAAGAGUGACUAAACUAAUAAAAAACUUACAGUAAUGAAACCGAGACGAAGUGCAAGGUAAUCUGAUUUUUGUAUAGAACUUCUAAACUGGCGCAGAAAACAUAACUGCGAUAUCAGAUCACACAUUGUCAUCAUUCUAAACAUGCAUUUGGCUGAGUCUAAGAAAUUUAAGAAGUAAAAGGAUUAAUUUCGAUGAUACAUCACCAUCCAUAUUAGUAUUGGAUUCCUGCUCCACGGAUGAGACGUGUGAUGGAAAACAAACGUUGUUUGCCGCCUCAUCACCUUGUUUUUCUUUCCUGUAGAACAAAACUAUGCAAGAAAUUAUUACUAUAUUCGAAAGAAGCAACGAAGACACGACGCCAUUCUAUUUAUUUGUUGUUUACCUUGCAAAUUUCCGUCGAUAAUAGCCAUAGUAGCCUGAUUUUCCCAUCUGCACCAACUAUAGAUCUACAAAUCCAUGCAACAAAGAAAAACUAAACUAGUUAUCUAGUUAUUAGUAUUUAUAAGAGCAUCGACACAUUUUGGUUGUAACAAUUGCGAUGACCGACCUUGCUCAUCGCUAAACCAACAGCCAGAACACUAUACAGAACAUGAGUGAUCCCGAGAACAAAUAAAAACCGGUGAAGCUGCUCGAGACCCUCGUAUGAAACAAAUGGUUCAUGACCCUGCAUUCAUCAAUUAGUAUCUUAAGAAUGAUAGUUUGUAGUAGAAACAGCAUUUCAUCUCGGUUUGUUCAACCUGCAUUUUACAAUUGAAGCAUGUUAUGUUACCUCUCCACAUUGAUGAAGUGCAACCCUAUUUAGCCCCUUUGGAAUACUAGUUUCAUCAGAGAAAGAGGAAGAGUUUUGAAUCAUGACAUUCUCAAUCACGCCAACGUCAUGUUCAGCACAAGUAUAGAAUCGACUGCUGAAAAGCGAUGAAUUUACACAAAUUUCAGAGAUCCAUCUCGCACUUUGUGCCAACAACAACGAGAUUAGCCCAAGCAGCAUCAGCUCUAUCAAGAAGAAUCAGUACAAGUUAGUUAAAAAUUCUGAUAGAAAACUUAAUAUUCUGCAUUUUUGAGUUAUGAAGAACAUCAUGCUUGAUUACCUUCUUUAAUUUUCUCGAGCGAAGCAAAAAGUGCCUUCCUUCUUGUCUUCUUCAACCACUGCACAGCCAAGAAAAAACAAGUUUCAACAGAUUUAAGAAACUAGUUGCUUUUACCGGUCGAAGUAACAUUUCACAUUUCACAGUUCAAGCUUAUUAGAACUUCUAAAACUAACUAUCCAACAUAAGGGCUAAGAAAUUAUAUAUGCUAGCACCUAAUAAUUAAUAUGAAACACUAACUAAGAUCUGAGAAGAAUGCAAUAAAUUCGCCAGCAAGUAGAUAAAGAGCAUAGGAACAUGCCAUUACUUUUAGUAGUUCAUGCAGUUAUCAUACAUUAUUGCUUCUUAAGCUGUUUCUGUCACUUUUACAUUACAUUCCUAAGACAGUACUAAAUAAAAAUCCGUUUCAACAUUAUCUAUUCUAUCGCGGCAAAUAGCAAGCAAAACAACAUGAAAACAGUCGAGAAACGAAUGAGUUUGAAUAAGUUAUUCACCUUUCCGAAGCGGUAAAUAGAACGCUCGACCAAGAAGCAAACAAAAACCAUGACAGUAACAACAGAAGCAACUGAAUAAGUAGGUGUCUCAGCAAGAGAACGACCUUGCUGCAUAACAUGCUCCAUUUUUUCUUCUUACAUCAGCACAGCAUAACAUAACAUAACCCUUUAGUUCUAAUACAAAAAAUCGAAAGCUUUCGUCGAAAACAUAAAAGAAUGACUCUUGUGAUAGAUGGGAUCAAGAGGAAGUAUCUAAGGUGAUGAGAGUGUUUUGUUUUAUUUGAUUAUUAUUAUUGUAAGUUGAAAGAUGCAUGUGGAGAGAGUAUAUUAUAAUAUAGCAGAUGCAGAAUAGAUCCUACUCACUUUUUGAUUUCAUCAUAUUAAUAAAUGAAACUCUUUCUUUAUUGUUAUAUUGUAUAUGACACACACAUUCUACACAAACCAUGCACAUGGAGAGUUUCUCAUUGUCCAAGGUUCUUGUUACUAACAACUUUUAGAUGGUAAGUUGCAAUGGGACCAAAGGUCCCUAUAAAGAAAACAGGUAUCACAUUAUGAUUAAUUAAUUUGUGUGUAUAUCUAGUAAAGUGUGGAAAAGUAUUCAGUUCUCUGACAGAGACAACAAAAGGAAAUGGAAAAUAUUUAUUCAUUCUCACCAGUAAAGAACAUGAUUUCUAUUGCUUUCUUUUGUAACUUAUGAUGAUAUUUUCAAAACAAAAAAAUCACAACCAAAAUAACUAUAUUUGUGUGAAAUUGUUCACUAUUAAUUUUAGUUAUAAUUAGACUUUUUUUUAAUGAUUAAUGUUGGUUAUUAAUGUUAUGGAUGUUGAUACAUGUGACCUUUUUAUAGGAAUGAAGAUAUCAACCAUAGUGUGCGUCCUUUAUAACUAUUUAAUAUCUUUAGUUGAGGUUUAGUCCUUUAUAACUAUUUUCCUAAAACAAUGUUAAAUAUUUUAACGUUUCUAACUUGUCAAUAGCACAUGGCACCCAUGUCAAAUCAUAUGUUAUAAACCACCAUUCUUCUUGAAAUUAGGCUUCCAUCUUCUUAUUCAACCUUGCUUUCUCUUUCAUUGUUUCAUUUUAGUUUCUCUUUCUUUGCUAAAAUUAGGGCAUCAUCAUUCCAAAAACGAAGAACAAGUAUGUGUUUUAAAAAUUCGUCUCCCUAUCAUAAAGUGUCUGGUAAUGGGGGAGAUGAUACUAACAGUUCUGAAUCGAGGGUUUACUCCUCUUCUUCAAAGAAGCAAUAAAUAUUUAAUUGUUGGUGUAGUAACUUCGUUGUGCUUAGAAGGACUAUAACAACUAAUAAUUUUGGGAAGCCAUUCUGAGAAUGUCCAUACGAUAGGGUAGGAUAUCUAUAUUUAUUCACUAAUUUCAUUUUGAGAUAGUGGGCUACGUUUUCCUUGUUUUCCUUAAUUUACACCGGGGAUACUAAAACUAGAUGCGACUAUUUUGAUUGGUAUUAUGAUGAAGUGAAAGAUGAGGAUAACAUAUUUAUAUCAUGAAAAAAAAGUUGUUGAAAAUUUUAACAAAAGAAAAUGAAAAUUAAGAGCAUAAAUUGGUUCAAUAUAAAGGAAGAAUUGAAAGACAAAGAGACACAAUUGAUGCACAAAAACAAGAGUUAGAAGAUUUUGAGGCGACUCUAAAGAACACAAUGACGUGGGAUAAAUUUUGGAAAAUUUAUAUUUUGUAGUUAUAAUUGUUUUAAUAUUAUUGUGUAAUUAUGGAAGAAUGUUUGUUUUGUGUUCCGAAUUAAUUUUGUAAUGUUUCCAAUUGAAUGAAAUGAAAAUAACAAAUUUUUGAUUCCUAUUAAUUUUUGUUUCUGGUAUACUUAAUUGAUUUUGAUGCAUCAAUUUUGGUAUACUCAAUUUUUCAUUUUGGUAUACAUAGUUUGAUUUGGAUGCUCAGUAUGUAAUCCUUGAUUUUUUUUACUUGAAUUGGAUGCAUUAGUUCUACUAUACUCAAUUUCGCAUUAUGGUAUAUUCAAUUUACCCUAAUAUCUCCGGUUUUGCAUUCUAGUAUACUUAGUUAGUUUGCAUUAUGGUUUUUUAGUUGAUUUGGAUGUAUUAGAAUUAAUUCUAGUGUUUUUGGUUGAUUUGGAUGCAUCAAUUUUAUUAGAUUUAAUUAUUAGAUUUAAUUCAUAUUUAAGUUUGUUAGAUAUUAGAUUUAAAUAUUAGAUUUGAUUCAUAUUUAAGUUUGUUAGAUAUUAGAUUUAAAUAUUAGAUUUGAUUCAUAUUUAAGUUUGUUAGAGGCUUAUAAAUAGGGUGUCAAUCAUUGUAACUUUUAAUCCUUUUUGUAGCCGUCAUUCUCUUAAUAGAAUAUUCAUCUUUUAUUCUACCUUUGCACCAACAAUUGGUAUCUAGAGCUCCGGUUCAGAUUCAUUGGGAAACACGGGAAACACGAGUGAACGUGAGGUCUUGUGUGUUUGAUUUUGAUUCUUAGAUUCGUGUUGAAUCUUGAACAAAAUCUGAUCAGAAUUUUAAUUCUGUGGGUUGGGAAACACUGUGUGAGAAAUCUGAGUGUACUGUGCAAGGUAGAAAGAUGAACGGAAACGGCAACAUGAACACCAAACUUCCAGUAUUUGACGGUAAAAACUGGAAUCGUUGGAUGAUCCAAAUGCGUGUACUGUUCGGUGCUCAAGAUGUUCUAGAUCUUGUCACUGAUGGUUAUGUUCCGGUAGCAGCAGAUGCGACGGAUGAACAGAAAAACGCGCAGAAGGAAGUAAGGAAGAAGGAUCAGAAAGCAUUGUUCUUCAUUCAUCAAUGUGUUGAUGUAAAUGUGUUUGAGAAGAUUGCAGAUUCAACGACAGCAAAGGCUGCGUGGGACACACUGGUUAGAUGUUAUGGUGGUGACGCAUCAGUGAAGAAGGUGAAGCUUCAGUCCUUGAGAAAGCAAUAUGAGAAUCUCAACAUGAAGAAUAAUGAGAAAGUUUCUGAAUACAUCUCCAGAGUGAUUCUGAUCACUAAUGAGAUGAAAGCGUGUGGAGAAACUCUUUCUGAAGAAACAAUCAUGGAGAAGGUAUUGAGAUCCCUUACCUCUCAAUUUGAUUACAUUGUGGUAGCAAUAGAACAUUCCAAAGAUCUGAGCACCAUGAGAAUUGAAGAGCUGCAGAGCAGUCUAGAAGCGCAAGAGUUGCGUUUGACUGAGAGAACUUCUGAAAGGGAAGUAGAGCAGCAGGCUCUGAAAGCAACUUCUGAUAGGAGGUAUCAGAAGCAGUCAGAAGCCAGGAGAAGAUCUGAUGGUGGUCAGAAGUCAGAAAGCUCAACCUCUGAUAGACAAAAGAAUGCUCAUAAGGGAAAAGAGAAGUAUGACAAGAAGAAGAUCCAAUGUUACUGUUGUAAGAAGUUUGGUCACUUUGCUAGAGACUGUUGGUCAAACAAGGAGAAAAAAUCAGAAGAAGCAAAUAUAGCCAGAAGUUCUGAUGACGAAUCUGUGUUAUUGAUGGCCUCUGAAUCUGAUGAUAUGGAUCUGAUAGACUGGUGGUAUAUGGACACUGGUUGUUCAAAUCAUCUUACUGGAAACAAGAAAUGGUUGGUUGACUUUGACUCUGAAAAGAGGACAAAGAUCAUAUGUGCUGAUGACAAAUAUCUUAAUGCAGAAGGUAUGGGAAAUGUCAGAGUGAUUCUGAACAAUGGAAAAACAGUAUUGAUUCAGAACGUGUGGUAUGUACCUGGCAUCAGAAGCAAUCUGAUGAGUGUGGGACAAUUAAUUGAGAAAGGUUUUUCAGUUACCAUGAAGGACAAUCUUCUGAAGUUGUAUGACUGCAAUCAGCGUUGACUUAUGGAGUUAGAAAGGGAAGGAAUAGAAACAUUCAAGGUGAAUCAGAACGGCAGAUCUCGAAUGUCUUGGAGGCAACAGUGCUGAAAGAGAGAGGAGCUGGGCACAGAAGAUUGGUCACCUUCGAAAUUUUGCAGUAAAGCUUAAAACCGAAUCAAAGAAGGUUGGACACUGGAAUUCCUGUAAUUAAGAAGCCCUGAAAAGUCAUGCAAAGUUUCAUGGAAGGAAAAAACAACCACGAUUGCCAUUUGCGUCAGAAACUGCUCCAGAGCAAAACAUGCCUUGGGAGUUGUACAUUCUGAUGUGUGUGGUCCAUUGUCAGUAGCAUCGAUGAGGGAAUAAAUACUUUGUGUUAUUGUUGUGAAUCAGCAAGAAUGAACAUGGGUAUCCCUUAUUAAGUUAAACCGAGCGAGUGUUGAUGAAUUCAAGAAGUCCAGAUGAAGGCUGAGAAUCAGAGUGUCAAGUUGAAGAUCUUAGAACUGACGGUGAGGUGAGUAAUAACCCAAAGAGUUCCAGAAGUUCUGUGAGGAGAAUGAAUUGAGCAUGAUACUGCUCCUUAUACCUCCUCAACACAAUGGUCUUGCUGAAAGAAGAAACCGCACUUUGCUGAUAUGGUGAAGCAUGCUAAAGGAGAAGAAGGCUUCCUCAGAACUCUGGGGAGAAGCUGUUGCCACUGCAACUAUUACUCACCGAUGUCCUACGAAGAAGUUGAAGGAAUGUCCAAUACAGAAGUGGACGGAGAUAAGCAAAGUGUAGUCAUCUGAAGGGUUUUGGUUCUGUUUUGCUAUAAAAUGUUCACAGAAGCCAGAAGACAGAAGCUGGAUGAUAGAGCCAAAGUGAUGAUCUCUGAUAGGGAGCACAGUACAAGUGCAUACAAGCUCUAUUGUCCAGAAACCAAUAAAAUUGAAUCAGCAAGAGAUGUGAUUGUGAAGGAAUCAGAAGUUGGAAUUGGGAUAAGUCUCAAUCUGACUCUGAUGUUAGAACCUCUGAAGAAAGGUCAGAGUCAGAAUUCUGAGGCUGGAGUAAACUCUGAUACUGAUUCUGAUCUGAUAGUGAUUCUGACUCUGGAGAAGACUCAGAAAGAUUGAAGGUGACUCUGAUGAUCCAGACUCUUGAUGACGCCAGACUCUGAUGGUAAUCCAGAUUCUGGGGCAAUUCAGACUCUGGAAAUAUGCCAGACCCUGAAGAUGGUCAAAGCUCUGGAGGAAGUCACCAUCUGAAGCUAGAAACUCUAAGCUCAAGACUCUGAACAAGUUCAGAGACAAACAAAGAUCAGAAACAUCCCCAGAAGAAUCUGCAGAAUUUGACAUGCUGCAAGACACUGAAGUAGACUCUGAAGAGAAUUAUUCGCGUGGCCAUGUUAGUAAGACUCUGAACCCAUAAAUACAGAAGAGGCUCUUAAGCAGAAGCUCUGGCUGAAGGCCAUGAAAGAAGAACUUGAUGCUAUAGAGAGAAACAAGACUGGAAGUUCUGAACAAGAGAUAGCCAAGUUCAAGAAAGUUCUGAUGAAUGAAUUCGAAAACUGAUCCAUUUCUCAAUUAAGGGAUGGGAAUUGGUGUACAGUUUUGCAUAAUAUGAAUUAAGAUAGUUUAGAUUUAAUUAUUAGAUUAAUUCAUAUUAAGGUUUGGAUAUAAUUUAAAUAUUAUAUUAAUAGUUUAGAAUAAUUUAGAAUAUUAGAUUCAAUUUAAGUUUGGUUAGAUAAUUUAAGAUUUAAUAUUAGAAUUUGAUUUCAAUAUUUAAUGUUGUUAGAGGCUUAUAAAUUCGGGUGUCAAUCAUUGUAACUUUUAAUCCUUUUUGUAGCCAUCAUUCUCUGAAUACGAAUAUUUCCAUUCAUCAUAUAUUCUACCUUUGCACCAACAAAUUUAAGAUAAUUAACAACAUUAAUUAGAAAACAUUAACCUUCAUUCAACAAUAUUCAUUAACAAUACCAAAUUAAUGGAAAUUUGGUGGAACAUAAACCAAAACAUCAAAAUGAUUCAAAAGACAAACAAAACCAUAAAUUAACAUUAAACUUAUCCUAAAACAAAAGAUAGACCAAGUCAUAAACUAGCAUUACAUGUUUAAUAAUUAAUUUAUGCAAGGCAGGCUUAAAUACGAAUAUCAAAUCUAUAAUAAUAAUUUAAAGUGAAAGUAAAACAAACAUAUAAGCAUGCAUACAUAUAACCUUAAAAUGUAGCCAUUGAUAAGAUAAUCUUAAAAUGUAAAUAAUGUAGAGACAAGUGACUAACACUUGUUGGCUUUUGAAUCUUCCUCAACCGAUACUCCUAAUGCCUCAAACAUUCUUCAGAUGGAGAUAAGAUAUAAUAUUGUUUGUGUACGGUAUAUUGGGGACCAUAGCCUAUAUAUAAGGUGUUGGUCAAUUGGAAUUCUCAUUAUUCCGAAAUGGGUCAUCCUGACAUCCACUCAUAUUUGAGCUCAUAUCCAAUUAGUUAAUUAAUUAAUUAAUUAAUUAUUAAAUAGAAAUCUAAAUAGUCUUUUAAAUUUAGUUGACCACUUAAUCAAUUAAGACUCUUAAUUUAAUAAAUAGCUAAUAUAAUUAAAAAUAUAUAUGCCCACAUAAUAAUUAUUGGAAUAUAAUAAUUAAAUAAUAUUUAAAUUAUAAAAUAUUCCAACACUACACGUAUCCUAAACUAAUAGAAAACUUAGUUGCCUUGUUGUUUGUUUGAGAGGACUGAGCAUAGUUAUAGGAUCUUUGAAAUUCCUUGUUGCACUUAACCUUAUUGCAGGACCUGGUGAUCCAACACUUUUUGAUGUCCUUUUAAUGCUCAACUUUUUUAUAGCAAAUCUUGAUCCACUUGCUAGAGUUUGGGUUUUAUUUUUAUGAGGUAUUGAUCCACUUGUCAUAUAUUAAGUUGAAUGUGCUUCACUCGCCUAAGUUGCUUGAGAUUGACUUACUUGAGGUGCCUAAGAUUGACUUGCCAAAGAUUGAUAUGCAUGAGUUUACUGAUCUUGACUUGCAUGAGUUGAUGGUGGAACCUUACAAGUUGACUUUGUUAUGACCAUUUUUCUUGCACCUACUACAGUUAACAUGUAAUCUUGUUCUCCUCAUUUUAUGAUCAUAUCCAUAAAUUUUUCCUUGUUGAAGAUUCCUUUUAUUUUUUCGUCUUCUUGACAUUUUUAUGAAGAUUGACAGUUUUUUGGCAUUUUUGGUUUCCAUUUCAUUUCUCUCACCUCCCUUUCCUAAGCAUGUGGGUAAGUUGAUUUAACAGCUUUUCAUAUAAUCUCUUUCAAUUUUUUUCUUAGAAACUUCUUCCUAAAGUUAUUGUACAGAUGAUGUACAUAAAAUAUUUGCUCGACACCCAAUAAAAGCUCAUCCAUGGUUGACAAUAGACCCUACAAAUAAAAACAACUAAGUUAUUAAUAAAACAUCAUAAACAUACAAUAGACAACAAACAUGAAAAGUUAUAAGAAUCAUUCGAAUACCUUUUGUUAAUAUGAUAAAAAUGUAUAUGUACAAGAUUUAGUUCUACCUCUAAGAUCAUCAAUUAGUAGUUCCAAAAACCAUGUUUAGUUGUUCUUUAUUUCUCAUCCAACAACUGCAAAAUCUAUUGGAGCCAUUUACCCAUUAAGAUCUCUUUCUAUGGCUGCCAAUAUUUCUCCUCCAUGUAGGUCCUUUAAAAAACAUCCAUUGAGUCCAAUCAUAGGUUCGCAUAGCUUAAAACUCUCCUUACAUGCUGCAUAACAUAUGUAUAAUCUCUAGAAAUGAGGCAUUUUGUUAACUGCAUUAUCUUGAACAAAUUAAACUUUCAACUUAACGGUUGAACCUGAAUUUGUUCUUAGAAUUUCAUGACAAUAGUCAUAAAUUCUAUUGUAUUAUUCUAAGAAGGAACCAUCAACAAUUCCUCUGGUUGCACACCUAGCUCUAACUACCUUAGUCUGUUUUAUACCCACAUUUCACUUCCUUUGAGAAUUUUCCUUAAUCCUUGAUCUUCAUCUUAGGAUUAUAUUUCAUUGAAUUUUAAAUCCUCUUACUUAGUCACUUUGUAGUCAUCAUCUUCACAUUGUAAGCCAUGUUACACGUGUGAAUAUCCACCAAUAUCUUCAAUUGCCAAUAAUCUUCAUUUGGUAAUUUGGCACAAUAGGAAUUCCACUCACAUCCUUCUUUACAAAUAACCCUAACUCUUUUUUUGUCAUUUUGAAAGAACCUGAGAUUUUUUCCUGACUAGAUUGCAUAAGUAGUGAUUGCUUCCUUAAAAUCACACUUGGUAGCAAAAAAUGUUCCAAAUUCCCAUGUAUAAUCAGACAUGUUUUUUUGAAAUUUUAAAAUAUGAUAUUUCUUUCUAUUGCGUUCACUUUCUUCAUUGGUUUUACACCCACUUUUCAAUCCCUCACUAUCAUCUUUACUCUCAUUAAAAUCCUUUUUUUAAAUAUUUUUUUGCUAGUACCCUCAAUAUCAUUAGCAUAACCUAAUAUAUUUUUCAUAUCCUCUUCCAUAAACUCAUCAUUACCUUCACUCGAGUCUUCAAAUGCAAUAUCCAAGGCACUAUCAUAAUUAAAACUCAUAUCAUCAUUGUCAUCAAUAGUUUGACUACCAAUAAUUCCACCAUUAUUCACCUUAGCAUCAUUCACCUCACCAUUAUUCAUCUCACCCUUAUUCAUAUCACCCUCAUUCAACUUAGACUCAUUGACCCCAACAUCAUUCACCUCAACUCCAUUCACCUCAACUACACCCUCAUUUAACUCAGAUUCAUUCAUCGCAGCAUUAUCGACCCCAACUUUAUUCACCUCAAUUACACCUCAUUCAACUCAGCCUAAUUUUUUCCAACUUCAUUGACCAUAAUUUCAUUCAUCUCAACUUCAUUGGACCUAACUUCAUUCACCUCAACUACACCCUAAUUCAACUCUGUUACAUCACCUGUUGCUCCUUUGGCAACUUCCUCAUACAAUUUUCCAAUAUCAUCUUCUUCAUCAAGGUUUACGACAUCAUCUGGGUUAAUAGCUUCAUCCUCUACAGGACCAUCAUACUAUUUAGGUCGAGAUAAUGGAUGUUGUACAUAAAUAUGAACGCUGAAGUAUACCUUAUAUAAAUCAGGAAUAUCUUAGGCAUCUUUGUCAUCAGUCAAUGUAAACAUACCAAAUGUAGAAUCCUUGCACAAAAUAGCCCAACCUUCCUUAUAUCACAGUUCUUUAACUACCCAUAUCACCUCAAAAUAGAUCCACUAAUAAAUAUCACAUCUCAUCUCUAAAACAAUUCCUUCAUAACAAGAUAACUUAACGUCUACAAAGGAACCUUCAUGGUGAAUAAAUACAUGUAUAAAUUCAUAUUUUUACCUAAAAACAAAAUGGUACAACUUAUUACACAUGUUGCAAUCGUAUUACACAAACAUGUCAAGAAAUCCCUAAAACCAAGAGAAAACCCUAUAACCAAGAUAAAGCCAUAAAACCCCCCACAUUAAGAUUCAGAACCUAAGAAAAGGGGCAAGAAAUGAAAAUCCAACAAAUCUUAAAUUAGAAAGGGGCAAAAAAAUGAGACUUACCAAAAUACUUAUCUUCCUCGUUUUAUUUCACUAAAUACUUAGGUUAUCACACCCAUCUUCUUCAAUUCCCUCAUUUCAUGCUUCAUAUUUCGUACUUUAUUCUUCGUUUUUCAGUUAUUCAUUCUUCAGCUCUUUGUUCUUUAGAUUUUCAGCUCUUCUUCUUGAUCCUUUGUAGGAUCACCUUAUUCGCAGACUCUGCAUAUGCGUUGGCUUAUGGGUGGACAACGGAGAUGAACUUCAUUUGAACUCCUAAUUCAUGUAAAAAGUCAGUGAUCGUAGUGCUGGAAAAUUGGGUUUAAUUGUCAGAGACAAUGACGCUAGGCAACCCGAACAUGCACAUGAUCUUCUACUAGUAGAAAUAACAAACUCUUUUUGUUGUAAUAUUAGCAACAACUUCCACCUUUAUCCACUUUGCAAAAUAGUCGACUUCUAUAAUAAAAAACUUUAGUUUACAAUGUUGUAGAGGGAACGAGCAGAAGAUGUUCAUCCCCACUAGUAAAAAGGCUUGGGCAAUAUCAUGGAGUGAAUGAGUUCAGCUGGGGCGUGAUGAAGGCCAACGUGUCUCUAAAACUCAUCACAUUUCUUGAUGAAUGUCAUGUUGUCAUUUGACAAGGUGGACCAAUAAUAGUCUGCCCUAAAUAGUUUGUGGGAGAGAGCCUUGUCAUUAAUAUGACUGUCACAUGCCACUUAAAGGACUUAGAAGAAGACCAGGGCAGCUUCAUACUUCCCUAAGCACUGAAGCAUUUUAAAGGCUUAUCCUAUAUUGUAGAGUUUUCCUGUAAGAAGGGUAUACUUAGCAACCUGCUUUCGGACCCUCUUUGUUUCCCAUUCAUCUUGAAGGAGUUUAUCCUCCUACAUAAUGCAUAAUAUGGGCGACAUCCAACUUGACUCAAGGGUGACUUCUAGGAUUCGUAUCUCAUCUGCCUCAAUACUAGGAGACAAGAGUCUCUUGUAUUAUUAUCCAAUUAAACUCUGUUGUCUUUGGGCUGGAAAGUUUGGACACAAGGUCUUCUCUUUGGGCACGUGUUUUACUUUAAACGUUGUAAACAGUGUGUCGCACCGUGAAAAAUACCUGAGUGCAUCGCACACUCGAAGAUACACCAAAUCGCCACCGAACUUUAUUUAUUCCAAAGGAAAGGGAAAAUAUCUAUAAAACCCAAGGGGAAGAGAAAAAGGAUAAGGAAGUCGGUUAUGCAAGGGGAAGGUAUUAGAACCCCUCACAUCUGUUGUACUCAACGGGAACCAUUUUGAUUGUUCUUUGCGUGAAUGGGUGUUACUAUCUAAAGGUUACUUGCAAAAGGGGAAACCUAAGUUUUAAAUUUGUGUACUCGCUAAGGAUUCAAACUCCCGUGCCUAUGUAUUCUCAUAGUGCAAUGAGAAAAUCAAAGCUUCAUAGUUCGUGAUAAAAAAUACUGAUGUGUUUGUUGUUUUUAGGGAACAAUUAUAAUCUUAUCCUAGAAAUGUGUAGACUUUAGUUGAUUUUGAUCCUUGUUCGGAUGCUCUAAGCUUUUAGUCUGAUUGCUGAGGAACAAAUUAUAAUAGUUCUUUUAUGAAAAUAAAGAAAAUUGUUUUGAAAAAGAUUCGUGUGAUAAAAGAAAAAGAAAGAGUUGUUUGACUUUGAAUACAGAAGAAAUUGCUUAAAUUAAGAAAGAGUUUUGAAAUGAGGAAAAUGUUGCUUGGAUGUUAUGAAAGUAUUGUUUGAACCAGGAUUAUGUUGUUUAAAGCCAUAGGUAGGCGUGUCUGAACCAAAAAGUGAGGUGUUUAAACAAUAGAAGGUGUGACCAGCGAUAAAUGUAGGAUUUUUCCUAGAUCCUAGAGAUCAAGACCUACAAGAAAAAGGGUUGCCAGAGCAUGGAGUUCCACAGGGCAAUGUGUGAAGGUUUUCCAGAGCAUGGGGCUCCACAUGGCAAUGCAUGAAAGUUGUCAGAGCAUGAAGCUCCACAGGGCAAUGCAUGAGAUUUGCCAGAGCAUGAGGCUCCACGUGGAAAAAUAAAAGAAAAGGGUUUGCUAGAGCAUGAGGCUCCACAAGGUAAUGCAUGAAGGUUUGCUAUAACAUGAAGCUCUGCAUGGCAAUGCAUGAAAGUUGCUAGAGCAUGAGGCUCCACAGGGCAAUGCAUGAAGGUAUUGGUUCAAAGAUGGGUGUUUAACCAUAAGCUGAUUAGCCCAAAGAAUGCAUGGAUGUGCAAAGAAUACAAUGUAUGGUCCAAAGAGCAGUGUAUUAUUGAUGAGUGUAAUGGAUGAUGAUCAUUGAAGUAUUGAGGAGAAAUGCUGGGAAGAAGACUUGAUAGACAUUUGAUUUGAACUGAACUAAAGUCUAUGAAUGGAGGCGAAUACUUUGAAUAAAUUGGGUCUACGCCCGGUCCUUAAAGAUACCCAGAACAAGGAUAAGAAUAAUCCUUCUCAUUCUUCUCCAUUGCUUAAGGCUCAUGGCGCAUAAUUCACAUUAUGACUGUCAAGUCUUGAAGGUGAAUCUUUUUGUUAUGCUUGAUAUUGAAAGUAUUCAGAGUCUUGCAUAAUGAUGUCUUGAGCUUGUAUUUGACUUGAAGAAUCAGGUGCAAGAUAAGUUUAAGAAUCUAAUUCAAUCAAGUGAUAAAGGUACUUAUGAUCACUUGACUGAAUAUGGGUGAGCACCCAAAUCGUUCAUAAGAAACCCUGAGGCAAGCCUAAUUGUAACAUUUAAUUAAUUGAUCAAAAUUGACUUUUGAUCAACUGAUUAAGGAUAUGAUGGAUCAUGUUAAGAAUCAUACAAUCUAGCACAUGGAAAUAUAAGAAAAAUAAUGGUAUUAAGAAUUGAAAAUAAUCAUGUCAACUUCAAUUUCUAAUUAACUAUAAAAUAAAAUUAAAAGAAAUUAGUAAUUAAACUCAAUUGAAAGCUAAUCCUAAUUAAUUGAAAUUAGAAACUAAAUUCUAACAAAAUUAAAUUAAAUUAAAAUCCUAAUCCAAUUACUAAUUAACAAUUUUAUUUUUAACAUAAAAAAAUCUAACUAAAUGUUAUGGAAGUGUCCUUUUGAAAUGUGCUAAAAAAGAAAAGAUAAUAUUAAAAACAAAUAAGAAAAUAUAAAAAAUAAUAAUUGUCAAGGGUGAUGAAAUUGAAAGAGGUGGUGCUGAAUAGUAAGCAAAACGCUGACACAUGUAGAUUAAAGCCCGAUAUUUUUUUUUGUUUUUUUUUCAGCGUGAGAGGUUUGGUUUAAUUAAGGGUGUGUCGUAAAAAUAAGCUCAACAAGGGCACCAAAAAGGCCCAGAAGGCCACUAAAAACUUAGCAGUCAACAUUCAAUAAGAAGUCAAUACAGGGAAACACUACAUGUCGUCUGAUUGAUAUGCGUUGAAUCUGAUGGUGAUGAUCAAGAUGGCGCACUGCACGGCGAAAUACAUGAUCUUUCUGUUUUAUCAUUAUGCGCUAUUUUGUCUUAUUCGCUCAUGCCCGACCAGUGGUAAUGCGCCAUGUGGCAUGGAGAGAGAAAGGAAAAAAAGGAAAAGUGCCUAGACAUAUGUCACGCAACUGUAGGUUCUGGAUAUUUUCUUCAUUUGUUCCUCAAUUGUUCAUAGCUCUUGAAAUUAAUCUACCAAAAUUAUUAACUCAAAUAAACAAUAUGAACAUUAUAUAUCACUGGACUCGAUUUUUCUCAAGGAAUCUAAAUAUAUGGUCGAAUUUUACAAAUGAGCCACGAAUUUUGAAGAAUCAGGUGAAAAGGUGAAGAACAAAGUGUAUAAAGAAUCGAUUGAUUCACAUUCGUUAUAAUGAUUCGUGAAAAAGUAAUCACAUAUUCGGAAUCAUGACAAAAAAUUGCUUCUAGUGAUAUAUUUACAUGUUAUUACUAGUUAAGAAUUAAAAAAUCACUAUUUCAAGUUUAUGUGUUAUAUGCUAAAAUAAGUGAUUAUUCCAAUAAGCUAUUUCAAAAUAGUAGCUUAAAUUAAUCAACAAGAAAACGUCCAAUAAUUCAUGGUAAGAGUGUAGAAGAGAUGAAAGAUUAUCGACGGAGCGGAGGUUUACUCUGGUUAGUGUUGAAAAUCAGAGUGUCGAAGAGAAACCCAAAAUACUUCAAGAAUAAGCUCUUUAAUCCAAUUAAAUUCCAAGCUUGAUGAUUGUUUUUAAUGAUGAAUGAAUAUAUAAGAUAAAUCUGGAUGUAGAAUAUUGAUGAAUAAACUUGAAUUGAUGAACUUUGUAUGAUGAUUGUGCUUGAAUCUUGAUAAACUUUAGAUGAUGAUUGUUUAUGAUAAUGUAUGAAUUGUUGAUUGAUAAUUUGUGGGAAUUGGAUUGUGACUAAGUUCCACCAUUUUAGAACUUCAAUGUGAAAUUCUAUAUGGUAAUAAAUAUGGACUUUGGUGAUGUUGGGGGAGUGAAGAAAAUAGAGAGAACUUGAGAAAAAAUAGUGAAAAAAAUAUGAUUUAUUAGUUAUGUUAGUUAAGAUAAUUAAGCCAAAACUGUGAGAAAUUACAUGUUUAUAUAAACUUUAUAAAUGAAUGAUCACCAUUGGAUUGUGAUCCAAGUAAUAAGUUUAUCAAUAGUUAGAAAUUAAUUUAAUCCUUAGUCGUGGAUCACAAAUUUUAACCCUUGAAUUAAUUGUUAAAAAUGAUUAGGAUUUAGUGAAAAAAAUAAAAGUUUAGAUUUGUGUUUGUUUGGAAGUUAUUUAUGUUAUUUUGGGGCUAUGGUAGUUAAGGAUUAAUUGGGUAAUUGGAUAGUUUGUGGAUGCAUAGGUAGUUAGAGACAAAUGAUGCUUGUAUUUUGCAAAAAUGCUAUCACUAGUAAUUAAUUUGAUUUUAAAUGAUUUUCCCUUUGAUUUUUCAUCACUUUUGCCAUGGAUCUUUUGUGAAUUAUUCCAUGACUUUAAAUGCUUUUGACAAGUAAUUUUGUGUUGAAAAUAAACACUUUUGAAUGGUGUAAACUCAUGGAUCAAAUUCUGAAUUUUUGGGUUUGGAACAAUGUUGGAAAGUGUUGAAAAAACAAGUCAUGAAAGUAAAACUUGAUGAAAGAUAGAGUUUGUUGGAAAUUAGCACUUGACAUAAUCAUGACAUAAGUCAUUUGUGAUGAAUGAUGAUAAAUCUCUUGAUCAAAUGCUUGUAGAAUAUAUCUAGGAAAAUUUAGGAGUCAAAACCGAGUCAAUGGUCGACAAUUGACCAAACGUCAAUAGUUGACCAAAAAGUCAAAUGUUUGACCAAAAAGUCAAUUGUACCCGAAAUAUGUAAUCUUUUACACUUUUUCCUUGUAAUUAUUUCUUUUGAUUUGUAUCUCAAGAAAUAUGCAUUUUCCUGUGAAUUUCCAAUAAACGAAUGAAAUUUUCCUUUUAUUUCAACUUUGUCAUUUUCUUUGAACCCAAGCAAUCAUUUGAAUUAAUUAACAAUCAUUACGAUCUCCCAACUAAUCAUGAAAAGAGAUAAUCCACAACACAAAUAAUAAAACUGAAUAAUUACCACAUAAUAUCCUUCUCGAAAAUUCACUUAAACCAAAAUAAUCAUUAUUAUAGAACCUUUGGCCUAAAUUUGUUACAAUAUGCAAAUGCCGAUGAAUGAUCUAAAUGUAUGAUCAAAUAGACAAAUGUAUGGAUAUGAACAAAAUCACAAGCCAAGUGAAAAAUGAAAGAAAAAAAAAGUAGGGCAAAUUUUGGAAUAUGACACCGUGUCGAUAAAUUUCUUACCUUAUGAAGAUAUUUUAUGAGUUAUGGUUCUUUUGCCUGAUAUUCUCCAGUGACUUGGUUGGAGACUAGCUGGGAAUCACUUUUUGCCUUCAACCUAGAGGCACUCAUUUAUAGGGUGAGAACCAUAUUGGUGAUGAGAGCUUCAUACUCGGUCUGGUUAUUGCUAGCUUUGAAUUCAAACUUCAGUUCUUGUUUGAUUGGAAUUUCGCAUGGUCCUUCUUAUACUAUUACUCGCUGCUCCCUUUAACAUUUGAGGCACCAUCGAUCAAUAGGGUUCACUAUGAGGGUGCUUCCUCAUCCACCAAUGAGCUGAAUUUUGCCAAAAUAUGUGCCAUAGUUUGGGACUUGAUGCUUCUUCUUAGGACAUAUUGGAUGUUAUACUCUAAGAGCUCCACUGCUCAAGAUACAAUUCUUCCCACCAUGUCUGGUUUCUUAAGGACAUGUCAAAAAAGAUAGUUGGUUUUUAAGAGCAUUUUAUGACCUUGAAAAUAGGGACAAAGCUUCCUCGUUGAACAAAGACGACCAUAACUAACUUCUCAAUCGUCUGGUAAAGUGCCUCAGCGCCAUUGAACACUUUUCGUAUGAAGUACACAGGUCAUUUCGCCUUAUACGUAGAGGAGCAGUAACAAUCCUUGCCUCCGGCGAGUGAGGAUAUGUAAAGGCGUGAGAAAGGAUUUUAUUCUAAAGAAGGAUUCCUCGUAUUCUCUAAUCACUCGAACCUCUCCUUCUUUUUUAGGGCGGUGAAGAAAAGGAAAGUCUUGUCACACACAUAUGAAAGGAAACGAGAUAGGGCGGUGAGGCGAUCUGUUAGAUGUUGGACUUCCUUGACAUUGGUAAUGUUAAUGAUAACCUACCAUUUAUAUGGUUUUGCCUCAAUGCCCAUAUUCGUUAACAUGAAGCUCAAGAGCUUUCAUUCCUGCACCCUGAAGGGACACAUGGAGGGAUUCAGGCGCAUGUUGUACUUCUUGACUAAUUGUAGAACAUCCUCUAAGUUUACUGCAUGAUUAUGCCCUUUCUGUUGUUUUCACUAUCAUGUCAUUGAUAUAGACCUCCAAAUUCCACCCUAUCUGGUGGGAGAAUACGACCUUCAUGAGUCAAUGGUAUGUGGAGCCAGCAUUCUUGAGGUUGAAUGACAUGACAUUAUAAUAGUACUUGCCAUGGUUUGACAUGAACGUUGUCUUGGGCGUGUCAAAGGGACCUAUCUUAAUUUGGUUGUACCCCAAAUAGGCAUCCAUGAAGCUCAACUUACAGUAACCUAAUGACCCAUCAAUCAGGAAACCAAUAUCCGAUAGGGGAUAAGGAUCCCUAGGACAUGCUGUAUUGAGGUAUGUGAAAUUCAUACAUAUGCGCCACUUGUUCGACACUUUCUUCACCAACACUACAUUGGCUAGCCAGGUAUGGUAUUUUUUUCUAUGAUGAAACAUGUGAUUGAUACCUUGUUUACCUCUUUGUCCAUAAAGAUUAUCUUUUUCUUGCCAACUUUCUGCUUUCUCUGUGAUACUGGUCAUACAAAGGGGUUGACGGUGAGGCGAUGACACGCCACCCUAGUAUCUAUCCUCGACAUGUCAAAUAGGGCCAGGAGAAUAAGUCGACAUUCCUGAUGAGUUGGUCAACUAGUUCACACUCUUCUUCUUUAGAAAGUGAGGUGCCUAUCUUUUUCACCUGGUUAGAUAAAGGGCCUAUAUAAACCUCUUUCAAAUCCUCUAAGGGAGUGAACCUUUCUCUUUCAAUGCCCAACCUGGGAUCCCAGCUAGCAGUGUCUGCAUCCUAUGCUCCGGAGACUGUGGUAGCCUCGUGGGCGAGCUCUUCCCUUGUUAUUGCCAGCCUAUUCUCAUAACAUUCUUGGGCAUUUUUGUUGGUCUCCUAUAACCGUCAUGAGUCUCCCGCUGGGUAGCGGGUAUUUUAGGACCAUGUAUUGGGUUGAUAUAAUCACCUUUAACGAGUUGAUGAAUGGUCUGUCAAAGAUGACAUUAUAGGGAAAUAAGGCAUCCAUUAUGAGGUAAUUUACUUCAAUCACAUUGGAAUAUGAUCCCACGAUGCAUGUUGUCUCUAAGGCUAUGAGACCUCAUACCUGCACCCGUUCGCCUAGCGAACCUAUUGGCGAACCCUAGAACGCCUUAAUGUUGUCGGGAUCGAGCUAAAGCUUUUGGAAUUUGUUCCAAAAUAGGAUGUCACGUGAGUUUCCUAGGUUUAUCAAGAAUUGCUUAAUAUUUGAGUUACUGUAUUGCACAAUGAUGACCAUGAGGUUGUCAUGGUGAGGGAGGAAGCCACUGAUGUUACUGCUAUAGAAAGUGAUGUUGGCCAUUAGUUCUCUCUGCUCGGCUUUGGAGAGUCCUAGGGAUAUUACAUUUGCAGUCACCACCUACCAGACAUAUUUCCUUUAGGAGGCGCUGGAACUUCCUCCACCAACGAAACCUAUGGCUAUGGUGCUAACCAUGAAGUCUGGAUCUUUGUUAGCUAUUUUCAAGAGAAUGUGGUGAAAAUGGCGGUGAUGAUGGAAUGUGUGACCCAAGUUAGUUUUAUCAGGACCCCACGGUGGACGUCAUUGUACUUGUCAAAAAGUACAUAAUGUGUGACACCCCUAUGCUAGAAGGGGUGCCCAAAGGCCUUAGUUAUUUUCCGUGGGUUAGGGCUUACUCAUGGUGGUGAAAACCUUAUUUUGUGAUGUUUUUGGCUAUGGAGAGAGCAAGCUCACAUGAGGUGAUAAGUUAUGUAUUCUGAGGGUAUUUUGUGUACGUUAUGAGUUGUCAUUCGUCAUGCUAGUGAUAAGGUAUUUAAAGAGGCUCGUGGGCCUGGAGUUAGGUUUCUCAGGAAUGAUAACCGACCACUUAGUCUUAGUAGAUGACCGUUGAAUCCCUACUUCCUAGAAAGAUUCUGUUUAGCCAGUUGAUUAUGAAUUCCCUCUAAUUGAGACAUGUCUUUUCCCAUGUAUCCCGCAACAGGCGAGCAAGGAGUGUUUUAAGGCGAGGUUGCCUUAUUUUGAGUGCUUGAAGGGUGUCACACCUUAUUGGAGGCCACACUCUCCUCGCCCUUGACAAGUCUUUACAAAUAUAUCAUUACAAUAUUGAUCAUAAGUUUGUCUAUAGUUACUGUAAUACCCACAUUGAAUAGUCUAGAAUAUCAAUACAAGGUAUUAUCAUAACUGGUAUUGGUACAUCAAAAUAAUGUGAACAACAUCAAGAGUACAUCUGAAUAAAACAUUAUAUAAAGUACAUAAAAGUAUAUGUACACAAUGUAAAAUUAGUAAAUAACUAAAGGAUGUUAAAGAUCCACCCAUUCACUCUUCAAGUAAGCUUUGCCUUACCUUUAUCUGUCACUUGAUCAUCUGUAAGGAAAGGAACAAACAUGGUCUGAGAUAGCCAAAUCUCAGUGGAGUUCUUACUACAUCCAUAAAUUUUGUAUGUGGAAAGCUACGACACCUAUAACCCACUACCAUUAUCGAUAAAGAACUUAUAAGAAUGCAAGGGAUAUUCAACAUCUUGAAAGAAAAUUGCGACAUAAUCAAUUCCAUACACUAUAGAAAUAAUAACAUGAAUCUCAUACACAUAUAUAAACAUACAAAUCACAACUGUAAUAUUCUCCCACAAUUUGAGUCAAAUUUAUGAGAUCAUCAACGUCCUACUACGACUCUGUAUGACUCCAGCUCUGCUUUUGGGUCAUGCAACUAGUAUAUCAACGAGACAUGUCAUUCUAUAUAUGUAUAUAGUUAGUUUUAGUGUUUUUUUAUUAGAAUAAGAUUAUCUGAGUUCGAAAAUUGAUAAUUUAAAACAAAAUCUUUUUUGAAAUCAAAGUUUAAAAUUAUUUUAUAAAAUGUUUAAGGAAAGUAAAAAUUAAUUACAUACUGCAAUUAGAUAAUGGAGGGCAUUAACGUGUUUUUUUUUUGUUGUUGUUGUUUUAGUUUGAUGUUAGCAAAUAGGAGUUUAUUGUUGUUAGUUUUAAUAAACACUAGUCUUUAGGAAUUAAUUGCUUUUGAAUUAGGUUUUAUUUAUCCUGAGUUAUAGUUUGCAGUUACUACUAUUUAUAAAGGCUAUAUGCUUAAUGAAAUGAGUUUUUUUUUUUUAAGUUUACGUCUGUGCUAUAUGUUCUUUCUCUUCAACAAUAAAAUUUGGAGUAGUUUGCAACAUUUGUUUUGAAUAUCAUAAUUAUCUGAUAGAAAAGCCUUUCACCAAGGACCGCAUAGCGCAGUGGAUUAGCGCGUCUGACUUCGGAUCAGAAGGUCGUGGGUUCGACUCCCACUGUGGUCGUUUCUUUUGGUUUUCACUCUAUUAUCCUUUUUUGGUUGUCAAAACGACAUCGUUUACAUUCACAGGCAUACCCAAAGUUAGGGUUUCACCUUCAUCGUUGUUACUUGUUUGUUGCAGAGUAAAGUAUAGACACUCUUCAUUUCUUGAACUCAAAUCGGAAUCGGAAAUGAGUUCAGUAAAGAAACGCGAACCGAAUGUUGCAAGCAACAACAGAGAAGCCGAAGAUCAAUUGAUAGUAACACCAUUAGGAGCCGGCAAUGAAGUUGGUCGUUCUUGUGUCUACAUGACCUACAAAGGAAAAACCGUUUUAUUCGAUUGCGGUAUUCAUCCUGCUUACUCCGGCAUGGCGGCGCUGCCGUACUUCGACGAAAUCGAUCCUUCAACUGUCGACGUACUUCUCAUCACUCAUUUUCACUUGGAUCACGCCGCUUCGCUUCCUUAUUUUCUCGAGAAAACAACUUUCAAAGGUCGGGUUUUCAUGACGUACGCAACGAAGGCGAUUUACAAGCUUUUGUUGUCUGAUUAUGUGAAAGUCAGUAAGGUUUCUAUUGAAGAUAUGCUUUUUGAUGAGCAGGAUAUUAAUCGCUCCAUGGAUAAAAUUGAGGUCUGUAUUUCUUUCAGACUCGUGCUUUGAUUUAUCAUAAUUCAAUUGAUUGGAUUUAGGGUUUUAGUGUGUGUUAAUGUGUUUGUUGUUAGUAGUUGUAAUUCGGGACUGUGGGUUAUUCAUUUCUGAUUCAUUAGAUUUAGGGUUUUAUUUCUUUGGAGAGAUAGAAAGAGAUGUGAGUCAUGGAUUUCAAGCUGAUUGACUGAAAUGGAGGAGAGCCUCAGGGGUUUCAUGUGACACAAAAGUACUGCUAUAGCUGAAAGGGAAAAUUUUACCGAACAACGGUAACACUUGUGAUGUUAUACCGGACAAAAUGUUGGGCGGUUAAAAAUCAAUACGAGAAUAAAGUAAAUGUAGCAGAUAUGAGGAUGUUGUGUUAGAUGUGUGGUAAGACUAGAUGUUAGAAGAUUAAAAAUGACAAUAAUAGAGAGAGGGUUGGGGUAAGAUGGUGGAAAAUGUGCUUAGGUGGUUUGGGCAUUUGGGCAUGUAGAGAGAAGACAUAAGACAUGUGGAUUUUGUUGUAAGGAGAGUAUACCGGACAAAGAAGAUGGAGAGGAGGCUAACAACUAAAGAUAGAGGAAGACUUAGAAAAAUUAUAAGAGAUAUGAUUAAUAAAGAUCUUGGGAUAAAUAAAUUGGAUAGAAACAUGGUAUUGGAUAGAACAUUAUGGGGAUAUGUAUCCAUGUAGCCGAUCCCACUUAGUGGGGUAAGGCUUGGUUGUUGUUGUUGUUGGAGAUAUGUAAUUAUAAUAAUGUGUAUAUUUUUAGCUUCAAAACUUAAAUUUACAUGUUAAACAGUAGUUUUAAUUGGUGGUUGCAGGUUAUUGAUUUCCAUCAAACUCUUGGGAGUGAAUGGUAUUAGAUUUAGAGAUUUAUUUUUCCUUGGAGGCAUGUAAUUACAAUAAUGUGUAUGUUUGUAGCUUCAACAUUUUGAUGUAUAUGUUAAACAGUACUUUUAAUUGAUGGUUGCAGGUUAUUGAUUUCCAUCAAACGCUUGAAGUGAACGGUAUUAGAUUCUGGUGUUACACUGCAGGCCAUGUCCUUGGUGCUGCUAUGUUUAUGGUUGACAUUGCAGGUGUUAGAGUGUUGUAUACAGGAGACUAUUCACGUGAGGAAGACCGGCAUCUUCGAGCUGCAGAGACCCCACAGUUUUCACCUGAUGUCUGUAUUAUAGAAUCUACCUAUGGUGUACAACACCAUCAGCCUCGGCACACACGAGAAAAGAGGUUCACUGAUGUUAUUCAUUCGACCAUUUCUCAAGGGGGUCGUGUGUUGAUUCCAGCUUUUGCUCUUGGUCGGGCACAAGAGCUACUGCUGAUCCUUGAUGAGUAUUGGCAAAAUCAUCCGGAACUCCAGAAUAUACCUAUCUAUUAUGCUUCUCCUCUUGCCAAAAAAUGUUUGACUGUUUAUGAGACUUACACCCUUUCAAUGAAUGAUAGGAUUCAGAAUGCAAAGUCAAAUCCGUUUUCCUUUAAGCACAUAUCGGCAUUGAGCAGCAUUGAUGUUUUCAAAGACGUAGGACCGUCUGUGGUGAUGGCGAGCCCCGGUGGACUUCAGAGUGGGUUGUCACGGCAAUUAUUUGAUAUGUGGUGCUCUGACAAGAAAAAUUGUUGUGUUUUACCUGGGUAUGUUGUUGAGGGGACACUAGCAAAAACUAUCAUUAAUGAACCUAAGGAAGUUACUCUGAUGAAUGGACUCUCUGCACCUCUCAACAUGCAGGUUCACUACAUUUCCUUUUCUGCCCAUGCUGACUCUGCUCAAACAAGUGCUUUCUUGGAAGAGCUCAACCCGCCUAACAUAAUUCUUGUUCAUGGGGAAGCUAAUGAGAUGGGGAGGCUCAAACAGAAACUUGUGACUCAGUUUGCUGAUCGUAACACUAAGAUCCUCACUCCCAAAAACUGUCAGUCUGUUGAAAUGUAUUUCAAUUCACAGAAAAUGGCAAAAACCAUUGGGAAGCUGGCUGAAAAAACACCACAGGUCGGUGAAACCGUCAGUGGUUUGCUAGUUAAAAAAGGCUUCACAUAUCAAAUAAUGGCACCCGAUGAUCUCCAUGUCUUCUCGCAGCUAUCAACGGCAAACGUUACUCAGAGAAUUACCAUCCCUUAUCCAGGUGCCUUUAGUGUCAUACAACAUAGACUGAGACAAAUAUAUGAGAGUGUUGAGCCGUCAAUGGAUGAAGAAUCUGGAGUUCCAACCUUGCUAGUUCAUGAGCGUGUGACAGUGAAGCAUGAGUCGGAGAAGCAUGUCUCCUUGCAUUGGACAGCAGACCCCAUUAGUGAUAUGGUAUCAGAUUCGGUUGUUGCUCUAGUUUUAAAUAUUAACCGUGAUCUUCCAAAAAUAAUAGCUGAAUCAGAUGCUACAAAAAUUGAGGAAGCAAAUGAGAAGAAGAUAGAGAAGGUUAUGCAUGCUCUCCUCAAGUCACUCUUUGGAGAUGUGAAGGUUGGAGAAAAUGGGAAGCUGAUAAUUAACAUUGAUGGCAACGUGGCUGAACUCGACAAGGAAAGUGGUGAAGUUGAGAGUCAAAAUGAAGCCCUUAAAGAAAGAGUAAGAACAACUUUCAAGCGAAUUCAAAGUUCUGUGAAGCCGAUACCUCUUUCACAAAUUCAAAAUUCUGUGAAGCCGAUUCCUCUUUCACCGCCAUAGUUCUUUCUUUUCCAUAUGCUGUCCUAGGAAUACUAGCCCUCAUGCUCCACUAACAUGUAAGACAUUUAUCAUAAAUUGUAGUUAUUGGCAUGUAACAUGAACUUCGGCACAACAUUAUUUGCUCCAAUUUUACUUAAUUGGCGUUAGCCCCCAAUGUUCUUUGUAUCAUACAUUUUAGCAUUCAGUUUCUUUUAUUUUAGAUAUGAUUAAAUUUUGGUAUUAAUGGUAGCAUUCAGUUUCUUUUAUUUUAUAUAUGAUUAAAUUUUGGUAUUAAUGGUUUGUUAUCAUAUCUAGUUUUGGCAUACUUUUAGGUGAGCCUUUGUGAAGUCUCCCUUCAGGGUUUGUGCAGUAGUUUUGUUCAAUGAAAAUUCCACAGGAGAGAAUCCCCUCCUUGAAUAGAAUCACAAGGUCACAAACAUGCAGAACCAUUAAUGUGCACUCUUUAUUAAGUUUAAGUAAUACAAUCAUUUACUCCCUCAGUUUCAAACAACAAUAAAAUUUGUUUCAAAAUGAAUUUUAUUCUCAUUUCUCAAUUUGAAAAUGAUGAUUAUUUUUUUAAUUGUAUUUUUUGAUAAUUAUUUUGUACACUACUUUUAACAAAUUUACAAGGUUAAUUUAGAAAUAGUGCAAAGUCUUAUGACAAUAUUAGGCAUGGCAACAUAACCCAUAUCCGCGGGUACCAAUCCGAACCCGUCCCGAAGUUGACGGGGAAAAUCCGUUUUGACUGGGUUUGGGUUUGGGUUUUCCCCGAUUUUAAAAUAUGGGGAUGGGUCGGAUAAUGGGGACACUAGUACCCACCCCGAACCCGUCCCCGAACCCGCCCCGUUUAUUUCAAUAUGUACAUUAUUAUUUAUUUUUGAAUAUUUAGAGUAUUAAAUAUGUGGUCAAUGUUUUGAUAUUUUAAUUUGAAUUUAUUAUUUAAAAUAUUUGAAAUGUAUGUAUGGAUUUUUUUUUAUAUUGUUUUAUUUUAUUAUUUGUAAUGUAAUUUUAUUUUGGAAAAAUAAAUAUUUCUAUUUAAAAAAUUGAUUUCACUAAAUGAAUGGUGGCGGGGCGGGGAUACCCGAACCCAACCCGAACCCAUUUGGGACGGGUUUGGGUUUUGAUUCUCCAUCCCCGUUUGGGUUUGGGGGUUUGGGUUUGGGUUUGGGGAGGUAAAAACCGUCCCCGACCCGCCCCGUUGCCAUGCCUAGACAAUAUUAACACAAUUCUUAAUUUGUAUAUAAAAAUUUUAACCAACACUCAUUUUGAAACGAUGGGAGUAUGUUUUACUCUUUGCCAACAAGUUAAUCACAUGGGCAUUUAACAAUUUGAGUUGAAGUAAAAAAAAUAUUUAUUGACCAAAUUGAUUUUUUUACACAAAUAAAUUUAACGUAUUCCAUUUAAUAAGUAUUGUUCAAUACAAGGAAGAAUUAAAUUAAAAGUAUUACGUUUAGUUUUAGAAUUGAUCACUUUAGUCAAAUUUACUUGGCACUUAACAAAUUUAACAUCAAAGUUGGGAAUACAAUGUAAAAGAUUCUUAAUAGACAAAAUGAGUAAGCUAAAGUCUGAGUUGUCACCUUGGUUAGAAUGGAUAGUUUGAACCACUAUUUGAGAAUCACUUUUAAAAAUCAUAUAAUUCAGUUGCAUCUGGACGACUGCUUGAACUGCUUCGAGAAACAUAACAACUGACCCAGGUUCAUGGCUAUUAUGAGACGGUUCCAUCUUCUCUAAAUAUCCUGCAACCUCUACUUUAGUUUUCCUCCGUUUCAUCUUAUUCCAUCUCUCUAAUUCUACUCCACACGAUGUUAUAUGUUGCAUUACAUCAAUAUUCUCGCCUUGCAUCCAACCAUACAUCACGAUAUUAUAUAUUUCAUCCUUCUUCAACCACUUGCUUUCAAACUUGAAUGAAUAUUUGUUGUUGGUUCUUUUAGUUGGCCCGCAUUGCAAUAAAAUAAGGUUAUAAUAUGAGUGUGAGGCUAUCAAAUUAAAUAGCUUGACAUUAGGAAAAUUAACAAUCCAAUAUGAGUUUUCUAAAUCUUUAUCCAGUCUCUCUUCCACUACCUGGACAACUCAUUUACUUUUAAUCCAUGUAAACCAAUGGCCUUCAAGUGUAAUAUCAGUUAAGUCGCAGUUACUACCCGCAUUACAAAAUCUCGUGCAUAACCAGUUCAAAUGAGGGUGGAUUCCUCAUUUAUCUUGUUGAGAUAAAAAGUCAUUAAAGUCACCAAUGAUACACCACGGAACUUUCGACAUGUCCCGCAGUUUACGACGCAAAUCCCAAGAUUGUGUUCUUCUUCCCCUAUCAGGGUAGCCAUAGUAGCACAUUAGUGUCCACCCCCCUUCACUUCAUCUUGUAUAAGAAAAUUCACAAAGUUCCUUGAGCAGUUCAUCACACUACACUUGACUUUUUCUUUCCACAAAACAUCUAAACCCCCAUUUCUACCUGCAAUCCUAUGUUUAUCAUUCAUCAUAUUUGUUAUACCUCAAUUUUUCCCCAAGCAUUCUUUCACCAAAGAAUUUGCAUCAUAUUUCAGUUAGUCAUUCAUUAGUUUAAUAAAAGUCAAAAGUCAAUAAACUUUCAUUCCGUUUUAAAAUAAAAAAAAAACAUUUAAUUACAUUCCAUACAUUUCUAUCGUCUCAUGCAUCUUUUUAAAGCAAUUCAAGAUCAUCAAAAUAAUUUUUUGGAUCUACAGACAAAUCGGUUGAAUCAAUUUUCAAAAUGUAUGUAAAUGAAAUUAAUUAAUCUACGAUUCAUGUAGAUGUCAGUUUAAUUAAUCUACGAUUCAUGUAGAUGUCAGUUUAAUUAAUCUACGGUUUGUGUAGUUUCACCCGGUGUGCUCGCGUAAUUUCUAAUCCUUUUCAACCAGACAUUUUUUACUUGAAAAUUUGCUCAAAAUCUAACUGCUUUUCGAAAGUAUAUUUCGUGCUGAUCAUUUUAAUGCAUUCAUUUUAAUACUUCAAACAUUUUUGUGUUCAAUUUUUAUUUAUUUUAAAUCCUUUUAUUUUUAUUUUUUGUCGAGAUGUCAAUAAAAUUAUUUUUAGAAUUUAACAAGUGACCAGUUUGGUUUAAUAGGAUUGUUUGAUUUUGGUUUUUCUUUUUUCAAUUUAAAACUCUUUUAAUACAAAAAUAAUUAUCAAUAAGGAUAACUUUGGAAUAAUUUAUUUAAAUAGUAGCUUGGGAUCGGAGAAUACGGACACCAAGACUAAACAGUGCAUCAUCUCAUCCAACCAAUAUUUCAUCAUACUCAAAGACCUCAAAUACAUAAAGGAAAGUGUGAGAGACUCUGAAGGCAGGCUAAUGCAUCAGGAUGUGGAACAUGUGAAUGUUUCGGUCGGACGAAUCAUUAAUUUUCUUGUCAAUUGUUGUGUAUUUUAGCUUUAUAACAUUAUAUUAUUAAUUAUUUUCCAUUUUCAUUUUUAUUUCAAUUCUUUUUAAUUAUAAGUUAAAUUUUUUUAAAAUAAAAAUAAAAAUAAAGGAUACUCCACUUGCAAUGACGUGCCACAUGCAAUGACGCAUACACUUAAUGGCAUAAUGCUGCAUGCAGACACCAUUAAGCAUGACGCAUUUGUUCAAUUACCUAAAGGAUGCGUCGUAUGGUAUGUCGCAUACUUUAAUCGGAUAAUUUUUUUUAUUUGAAAAGUGGUUAUAUUGGUAUUUUUUUGAAAAAUAUGUUAUUUUGGUACUAUUUUUGAAAUAAUUGUUAUUUAAAAAAAAUUCAAGAUAUGCUACUGCCAAUUGCCCCACUAUAUAAUUUUGAAAUCACCCCAAAAUAUACAUACAUGUUUUUCACACAAAGAAAUAAUAAAGGUGUUGGAUCUUUCUAGUGAUGUGCAAAAACUUACUCCAAGUGAUAAGGCUUGAAGCAAUAUUAAGACUAAAACUUUUAUUUUUUUGUCUUAUUUAUAAGAGAAAAUUUACUUUUUAAAUUUAUUGAAUAAUCAAUGUAUUUGGUCUACUAAUAUAGCAAAUACAUUGAUUAUUCAAUGAAUCUAAAAAAUAAAUUGUCUCUUAUAAAAAAGAUCAGAGGGAGUAUUAGAAUAUUGUCUAUUAGUCGACCCACAAAUCCACCUAUCUAAAUCAAAACAAUCCAUAAAUGAUAUCAAAACCUGUUUACUUACGUGUAUACCUAAUCCAACGUGCAACAACUCAUAUAAUUUUGGUUCAAUAUUAGGUUUGAGUUUCUGAAUCGUCAACCCAACUUGUUAACGUGACAUUAGUGAUUUCUUUUUUUUAUAAUUAUUUUAAAUGGAUAUAAAAUUAAUCUAUUACUACAAACCACAAUUUUGUCAAAAAAAAUAUUUACCAUCAAUAUUACUACUAGAUUAACGAGUUUAAAUAAUUUUAAGACUAAUUAUUUUAUCUUAUAUUCUUUUGUAUCAUUUCUAAUUCAAGAAUUUUAUGGAAAUUAAGUGUUUUUGGAAAUUUUGUAGACAAUAUAUAAUGUGUUAGAAACAAGGUUAUGGAAAUUAUACCGGAUCGGCCAGUUCAACCAGUUAGACUUCGAAUCGAGCCUACAUACAGUCUAUUAAACCCUUAUAACCGGUCUGCCAAAGAAUCGGGACAAAAACCAAAAAACCAGAUGAAAAUCGGGAAAAUCGGUCAAAACCAGAGGUUUCUCCAAUCACAUAGGUUGAACCGGAUUUUAAUAUUUUUAGUUUUUUUUUUUAUAUUUAUUUAAAAUAAAAACAUAAUUAAAGGUGAAAAAAAUAUCAAUGUGGUACAAUAAAAUUAGAUGAGUCUCACAGAUGAAGACAUGUCUCUAAUCCCUUCAACUCACAGUUUAAAACAUGUCUCUAACCCCAUCAAAAUUUUGAUUUCCUUAGUAAAAAAUAGAGACUUAUAUUUAUAAAUAACACUCUCUACUUUAGUUUAUAAUUAUUUUAAUGUGAGGCUUAAUUUUGUAUUAAUGAUAUGACAGUUUUUUCGUAAAGUUGACAACACUUAAAAAUAAAUGUGUUUCGUUCUAAAUUCUAAUAUUAUUUUUCUUAUAACAAACACCUCACUAAUAUAUUUUAGACAUAAUUACUCCUCAAGUCUUUUAACUUAAUUUAAAGUUCCGCUUUGAUCCUUAAUUUAAAGUUUCGCUUUGAUACUUUAAUUAAAAAAGAUUACACUUCCGUCCCUUAAAAUUGUUUCGUUAGUAUUAUUGGUCCAUUCCGUUAAUUUUUCAGAAAAACAGUUAACUUUUGCCAACGUGGCAUGACAACUAGGAUAUUGAGUCAGUAAAUUUAUUUAAAAAAUUAAUAUUUUAUUUAAACUUAAGGGUUUCUUAAUAGUGCUUAAAAAAUAUGACACCAACGAUACAUAACAAUGUUUAAUUAAGAAAGUACUAAUCAAAACCACUUGCAGGUUUGAAAAAUUAUUUUUCUCAUUAACAUUAGUAUCUUCGACAAAUAUUAAAACCAAACAAAGCUUAUCAAUAAGUGGACAAUCAAUUUCACUGUCAUACAUCUCAUAACAACAACCAUAGUGAUAUCAAUGUCUCAAAAAACUUAAGAAGCAAAGAAAUAUGAAAAAAAAAAAUAUAAGCAGAAAGAAACAGAGAGUCAACAAGUCGCGAGAGUUUUGACAUUAGUUAUUUGUGCUAUCAAAUCAUCUGAGAAAAAAAAACUCGACCGCAACUUUUAGUCGGAAACCGUCGCGCCUGUUCAAGCACCCUCAAACACCACACAUAACCACUUUCUAUGACCCUACUUUUCCGCCAACAACACAACAAUAACACCCCACAUCAGAUCCAUCGAUGCAAAUCCAUUCGUAUUUUCCAUACCCUUUUAGAUAUUGAUUUUGAAUCUUAAAUUGGUUUGUUGCUAUUGAUGUUCUUCUGUUAUCAUAGUUGAAAAUAAAAUUGGGUGAAUGUGAAUCCAAGUGAAACCGAGAGAGCAUGAUGUUUAUUGUUCAUUUUCUGAAAAAUGAUUAUGGUGAGGAAGAAGAGAUGAACCUUGAGAAAAAGAGAGAGUUGUUUGAAUGGAGGUAGAAGAAGAGGUUUCGAGAGAGUUAAUGUGGUAUUGAUUUAAUGGAAAGUUGAAUUGUGAGAAAAAGAGAAAUGAGAAAGGUGUUGUGACCGCUAGGCUUUUGAUUUUGGGGAAGGGGAAGAAGGAGAUUUCUGAAUGUAUAAUAAAUAAAAUAUAAAAUAUAAAAUAAAUAAAAAAACCACCUUAAAUAAACAUAAUAACAAUUAAAUUUCCACAUAAAAAAUACUUAACAUUUUUCUAUAAAAUUUAACGAAAAUAUCAAUUAUACUAAUUGAACAGUUUUAAGGGACUAAAGUGUAACUUUUUUAAUUGAGGGACUAAAGUGAAACAUUAAAUUAAAUUUAAGGGAUCAAAAGAUGAAUUAAACCUAUAUUUUACAUAAUCCACACGAUUCUAUCAUUUUUUAACUCUUUCUUAAGCUGACUCUCAUAAAGAAAUUAGAUGUAAUAAAAGUCACUGAUCUAUAUGAUAAAGAAUUAGUGCUAAAGGAUAUAACCUACACAAUAACGGUCCAAUAUUGGUCUAACCCCUAUCAAACCUUAAAACUCUAAACUCAUGUCUAUACUGGUUUAAUGUCCAUGUUACCUUAGAAACUUGCAUAAUUGUAUUUAAUUUUUUAUAAUUGAAAAAAUGAUAAGAUUUUUUUAUAAUUGUAUUUAAUAUAAACGAAUGGGUAAUUCUGAUUUGAUUUUGAUAAUAAAAUUGCACAUUAGACUAUACACCAACUUUUUUAAGUCUAGACGGAUUGAGUAAUGCAUUAGACAAAUCCCGAUCCAAUCUAAUCCAAUAUGUUACACAUAUUGACUAGAGUGAAACUUCGAUCCAAUCUAAUCCAAUAUGUUACACCUAUUGACUAGAGUGAAACUUUUGCAUGAUGAUUCAUAAUUAUUUAUUCCAUUUAAAAUUGAUCUAUUUUCUUUUUAAUUGAGAUCACAACGAAUCAUUAAUAUCAAGAUGGCUCACAUUUUUUUUAUUAAUUAUAGUUUUUAUUUAUUUAUUAUGGUACAAUAUAUAACUAUUUGUUAGUACAAUAUAAAUAAAUUUUUUUAUUAAUUAUAGUUUUUAUUUAUUUAUUAUGGUACAAUAUAUAACUAUUUGUUAGUACAAUAUAAAUAAAAUUAUAAGAAUGUGAAUAAAGCUCUUUAAAAAAUCAUAUUGUAAAUAAAUAGACAUACUUUUGCACAAAAAAUGUUGGCCCUAGACUAUUAUCUAAUUUUAAAGUAAUUACUCCAUUUAUUUACUUUUAUGAAUGAGAUGUAUUUUUGUUUUUCAUUUUUGUCUUAUAGAUUGGGCCGUAGUAAUAGCAAAUUGGGCUCUAAAUAACGGGCCCAGGAUCCAAUUGGGUUUUAAGCUACAACAUAUAUAAACAGAAUUAGGGGUUUUAUCCCAAAAAGAGAGACGAAGAAGCAGAUUCCGAACCAGAGAGGCGUAGGGAGCGAAAAUGGUGAAGUUCUUGAAACCUAACAAGGCGGUGAUUCUCUUGCAAGGCCGAUAUGCCGGCAAGAAAGCCGUGAUUGUGAAAACCUUCGACGACGGAACCCGCGAGAAGCCUUACGGACACUGUCUUGUUGCUGGAAUUAAGAAGUACCCUAGCAAAGUGAUCAAGAAAGACUCAGCGAAGAAGACGGCGAAGAAAUCUAGGGUUAAGGCAUUCGUGAAGCUGGUGAAUUACCAACAUCUGAUGCCUACUCGUUACACUCUAGAUGUGGAUCUGAAGGAUGCUGUUGUUCCUGAUGUUCUUCAAUCAAAGGACAAGAAGGUGACUGCACUGAAAGAAACUAAGAAGAGGCUUGAAGAGAGGUUCAAAACAGGGAAGAACAGGUGGUUUUUCACCAAGCUUAGGUUUUGAAUUUUCACUGUUCUGUUUCUAGUUAUACAUUUUGGCUUUUGAUUAUUAUGAAUGAAUUAUGGAAGAACUUGUGGCUUAGUUUUGAUUAUUAUGAAGGUAUUAUUAUAUGCAUCUUUGAUCUAUCUCAUAUAUUAGCUUGAUUAGAUUGGUUAUUUACAUUUUGAAAUUGUGGUUAAUUUGGUUAAUUCAGAAAAUAAGAUAAGGAAUGCAGGAAAUAUUACGAUUUUGUAUUUUAUACAAUUUUUUCUCUGCUAUACUAUUACUGCUUGUUUAAGCUUGUCUAGCUUAGUAGGUUUUUAGCCACGGUAAUUUUUAAGAGCUCACGAGAUAAAUGUCAUUUUUUGUGUUUGAAUAACAAACUGUCUUUAAAUUAGACUACCGUUUUUGUGGUUUGGUGAGGAUGCCUACCUCCUGAUAUCUUGUGCCCCAAAAUUAGAUUCACACAACUUUUCCAUUUCAUUUGCAAACUCUUUCAUUUACAAAAAAAAUGAUAGCAGACAUCAAUAUCUUUGCUCCUUUCAUGCACCACUUAUCACAAAAACUACUUUGUAGCCUCUUUUCACUCAUAUAGUGUGACAACUACACCUUGUAGUGUAAAAAAUAAUGCUUCUGUGUUUGCUUAGUGUCAUUAUUAGUUGCUUUUUUCUCUGAAUUAUGUGUCUGAGUUGCUUAGACUAUUAGUUGAUUUUUUCCAUGUCUUGCUUAGAGUCACUAUUUGUAACGCAGAAAAAGAAUAAAAAAAAACUGCAUUGAAAUAUAAUCAAUUGGCAGGAGAAAGGAAAUAAUGAGAGGAUCCAGAUCUGUAACCACAUGCAUUACAUUCGGCCUUGUAGUUGUGAGCUACAUCAAGCCUUCGACUAGCUGCUUGUAAAAGAACCGUCCAUCUUAAGAGCAUUUUUAUCCUUGAAGAUUUUGAAUGCUCCAUUCCAAUUUUCUUUCAUUUAUGAGACAUACUUUAUUUGACUAAUGAAACAUAGUACUCCAAUAUCAAGAAAGCACAUCAUCUUUUAUUGAGCUUGCACAUCUUCUGCUCCACAUUCUUUAUCUCAUAACCCACUGUUGCUCUUCACAGGCAAUUCUAACUAAUUUUCUGUAAAGAAAGACCGAGUUUAUGUGGGAAGUUGAAACACACCAACUUCUUUGAGCAACUAAUGCUUAGAUUGUUUGCACUGUGUCCAUACAAGCAACAUGGGGCAUCUCUUAUCUUCAGAAGAAGUUUGAUCAGAGUGAACAAAAUGAGCAAACAAAGCUAAAAUGAGCAAACAAAGGUAGUUAAGUUUAUCCGGUUUCCUCUUAAUUAGAAAGACCUCUUUUACAUGGACUUUCAUUCAUCCAUGUCGAUGCUCUUCUCUUUCAGGUUUCUGUCACUGGGAAAGUAUAAUUUUCCUCACCUUUAGGAGUCAAAUGAUCUUCUUCAUUGUAUUCUCAAUUCUCUUCAUUGCUGUCAUCCUUGCCAACUCCAUAUUCCAAUUCAAAUGUAUUAUCCUCUUUACAACUCUCAUCCUAACUAUACUUUUUGUCUUCAAAAAUGACAUCUCGACUAAUGACAAUCCACUUUGAGACGUGGUCGUUGCGACUCUUAUCUUCAAGUUUUAUCCGUCGAAAAUCUGGUACAUGAGCAUAUGUUACACUGCAAAAAUCUCUGAAGUGUUAGAUUUACCCUAUAACAAGCUUCCUUUGGCGUCAUCUCUUUUCCUGAAAAUAUUGGACAUAUAUUAAAAUCAUGGAAUUCCUAGUUGACUUCCUCUUGCCAAAACCUUUUUGGGACAUAUUUCUCAAUCAAUAAACUCUUCGCCAUGUUCAUCGCUUUUUUAUUGGUUUUCUCAUCGACUAUGUUUUGUUGUGACAUAUAUGCAACAAUUAAUUUCAUCUUGAUCCCAUUUGUUCUACAAUAUUCCUUGAACUCAAUCAAUUUCUUUUUCCCCAAGAACAUUAAAUAGCUUAAAAGAUAUGAAUGCAUCUGCCUUUGAGAUAAGAAAAUACACCGAUUUCAUUUAUACGAUAAUUAUCAACAAAACAAAUGAGACACUUUUUGCUACUUUAUGAUAUUGGAGAUAUUGACCACAAUAUCAUCAUCAACUAGCCACAGUUAUUAACAGCGGUCGCUCCAAGCACUAUCCCAGUUUUGGAUAACGCCAGGAAAAGUUGGGAUAAAGAGUUGCGGGAGCAGAGUGCUUCCCGGUCCGAAGCGUUUUUUUUGCUUUUAGGGCUUUUUGGAGUGCAAAAAAACCUUUUAAUCCUUAAAAAAAAUUAAAAUUUUAAAAAAUAUUAUAGUCGUUCGUGUUUUCUCCUCUUUCAUUCGUGUUUUUAGGUUUCUCCAUCGCAUUUCUUUUGUUCGUUGUUUCUCGUGUUUUUUGUGCGCUACUUCUUAUGCCCUUAACUCCUCAUCUGCCUCAACUGCUUCAAGCUUCUCUCUAUUCUCCUUCUUCUCUACUUCUGUUUUCUACUUUUCUAUUUUGUUCUCUAUCCUGUUCUUUUCUAUUAAUUAAUUUUCUAUUCUAUUUCAGGAUAGUUUUUCUUUCAUAUCAUUGUUCUCGAAUUAAUAUAUGUAGAUUAUUCAUAUAACUAAUCCAAAAUAUUAUUCAAUCUACAUUAAAUAUAUAGUUAGAUUAUUCAUAUUAUUAGUCAAAAAAUUUAUCCCGCUAUCCACUAUCUCAUUUUAUGAGUCGGCCGCUCGGCUUCGUUAUCCGGGAUAAAUAACUGUGGAACCAACUUCAACCUUUCUGAUGCUCUUCAUGUGUUGCUAUUUGCGAUCAUUUCUUUGUGUUACUUCCCCUUCAGACAAUCACUACAUACAACUUCAACCUAAAAAAAAACUCGGCAAACCUCUCACCAUACCUUUGUUUUUAGAGUUUUCGAUCCUUUGUAGAUGAGGUGACUGAAUCUUUGGUGCCAAAGAUAAGUCAAUUCUUGAGUGGUUGCUUGAAAAAAAUUAUUCCUUGGGUUCCUCCUCAUUUGACUGUGUGUUUGAUAACAACAUAAACAUUUUGUUCGUUGUCAUGUUGGUUUGAAUAAACAAUAACAUUAAUUUGGCUUCAUUAAAACAAAUAGACCCUUAUCUUGCAACUACUUAACAUUGAUAAGGUAGUUCUUCAAUUUAGACACAUAAAACACAUCUUCACUAGAUGGUUUUCUUUGUUCACUGUCAAUUAGAUGCUUCAUUUAUCAACAAUGUGAAUGCUUGCAUAAUUCCCCAACUUGACGAGGUUGUUGAAACUUUCUUGUAAGUUGUAAAAAAGUGAUCAAUUCUCACACAUGUGAUUGUUGCACCCAGAAUCAAUAAACCACUCAUUAAUACCACCUCCUUUGAAUCUUCCAAGUAUGCAUAAUUUGUUUCACAUUCGUAUUGGAAAUGUCUGAUUUUAUGACAUUUAUAGCAUUAAAUGGUCUCUCUAUUCCAAUUUUGAUGACCAUUGCCUUUGGCUCUGCUUUGUCCAUGUCCUCUUCUAAAAGUGGCUCUUCCACAACCUUUACCAUCACAGGUCUCUUCGUGAAUGACCUUCAAAAUGUGUUCUUAUUCGCCAGUUACCUUAAACUUUUGCUCACGGACGAGCAAAGAACUUUGUAAGGCAUCCACAAAGAGUUAAUCUAUAUCUUUGGAUUCUUAAAUGGAACAAACGAUGUAAUUCCAUUUAUCAGUAAAGGUUUUAAAAAUAUUCUCAAUGAUCUUAACAUCCCUCAUAUUUCCCCCUAUAAUUUAUUAUGUCUUACAAUCGUCAUUACUCGACUAAAUUAAUCAGUGAUCGACUCAUCAUGGUUCAUUGUCAGAACCUAAAAAUUCUUCUACGGAUGGUUGAGUUGAGCUCCCUUCAUUCAAGUGUUGCAUUGAAACUUGGUCUUCAUGGAGUCCCGAUUCUAUUUAGAUGUCUCGUUUUGUGUGACCGUUUUUAGAAUUGAAUUGUCAAGAGAUUGAAGCAAGUAACUUUUACCCUUAAAGUCCUCCAGCUUUAUCUUCUCCAAGUUUUGUUUUUGUGUUCUUGUCAUCCCUUACAUACUCUCGGAUUCUGAGCUGCCUAAUUCAACAGGAACCCAUUAUUCUUUAGAUCAAAGGAGAUUAUUCAUGACCUUGCUCUAUUGAUCGUAGUCACCAUCAAAAUUCAGAAUGAAAGGUUCUGCAAAACUUUUUACUUCUGUCCCCAUCUCCCUUCACUCCCUUACGUGUUUUCUCUCAAGUCAUUGCUUUGAUACCAGAAUGUUAGAUGAAAAACUAACUUAUGUGUUGAAUAAGAAAAUACAUCAAAUAAAUAGGAAUAAAACAGGUGAACUACAACUCAUGUUCACAACCCGCAUUUUACAUAAGAAAUAGGAAACAAACUUGACCAAAUCAAAUAUAUUAUACCUAAACUUAUCAAUAACAUAGGCACUUUAGUGGGGAAAGAAACCCAUUAACCAUAUUCUUAAGAAAAAGUAAUUCAACAACCAAUGUAUUUUAAUUGUUAAGAAUGUGUUUGAGUUUUUUUUUAUAAGCAAAAUUUCAUUACAAAAAACAGAGUAUAAUGGGUACUCUAGCCCAACAAUACAUAUACAACCAGUCACCUCCUAAUCAAGCAAUUCAAGGGGGAUGUAAAUCAGACGAAGAAAUUAUAAACAAAGUUAUUAUUGUUGCCUAUAACAGUCCAAUUCCAAGAAAGAAGCUUAAUAAAUAAGAGUAUGUCUUCUAUGUUGAAAAUUGUACCUUGAAAUGAAGUAUUAUUUCCCUUCAUCCAAAUGCUUCAACAAUCAGCUAACCUAAUUGAGUCUGCCAGGCUAGAACUGAAAGCUUUCCUCAAUAGCCUAACUGUUAGAUGUUAAUAACGCUUUUUUACACGAUGAUUUUAAUGAAGAAAUUUAUAUGAUUUUACCUAAAGGAGUAACUAUUAAUACUCCUUCAUCUUCAACUACCAAAGUCUGCAAGUUUCAAAAGUCCAUUUAUGGACUCAAACAAACUAGUCGACAAUGGUAUUCAAAGUUGUCUGAAUCCUUAAUUUCUAUUUGUUAUAAACAUUCUCUUAUUGACUACUCCCUUUCCAUAAAGCACGAAAACUCUUCAUUUACCAUUUUAUUAAUUUAUAUUGAUGAUAUUGUUCUUUUUGGAAAUGAUUUAUCUGAAAUCAACUCUGUUAAAGCCUAUCUUCACAAUUGUUUUAAAAUUAAGGACUUAUGCAAUAUUAGAUUCUUUAUUGGUUUAGAAUCAGCCAGGUCUUUUAAAGGAAUCAUGAUAAAUAAAUAAAAUACACUUUAGAACUCUUGGAAGACUCUGGCCAACUUGCUAUCAAGCCUUCUAAAACCUAUAUGAUCCUUCCCUUAAGCUAGAUAAUCCAGAUUCCCUUCUCUAUGAGGAUGAACCUCAAUUUCAAAGACUUAUAGGAAGACUUCUUUAUUUAAAUACUACUAGACCCGACACAGACUUUGUUGUUCAAUAACUUAGUAAAUAUAUCUCCAAACCGAAGCUAGUUCACUUCAAAGCUGCUAUUCGUGUUUUACAAUAUUUAAUAUUUGCUCCAAGUACUUGCAUUUUUUUUUGUAUCUGUUGAUUUUUGCUUAUCUAACUUUGAAGAUUCUAAUUGGGCUACUUGUCCAACCUCUAGAAGAUCUGUCACUGUUUGUGUUGUAUUUCUUGGCAUUCUAUAGUCUCCUGAAACCUAAAAAGUAGGGCAUUAUCUCCCAAAGUAGUUCAGAACCAGAAUACGGUGCUUUGGGAAGCCUAGCCUAUAAAAUUAAGUGGAUACACUACCUAUUUAAUGAUUUCAACACCUCGUUUCAUCAACAAACUUCAGUAUAUUAAGACAAUAAUUCUUCAAUCUACCUCACUCACAAUCCUCCUUUUCAUGAACAAUCCAAAUUAGGGUUGGCAAAACGGGUCGUCUGCCCUGCACAUCUUAAGCCCGCCAAAAAAAGGGGAGGGACGGGCAAGCCCGACAAGUGAAGUUGGACUUAAAAAUCUAUCUAACCCCGCCAAGGUGGCGGGUUGGCGGGCGGCGGACUUGCCCGUCUAUUUAUUUAUUAUUCAUUUUUUAAUAAAUAAAUAUGUUUAUUUUUAUAUUUCAAUUAGUUUUUUCACUUACUUUUUAGAAUACUUUUUUAUAAAGCAUAAUUUAACAAAUUUUAUUUAAAAAAAUAUUGCAUAUAUUCAUAAAUAAAUAAAUAAAAUAGAAUCAUCAACAAGUAUUUUAAAAUUAUAGUUUAAAUACUAAUCUUCAACCAACGAAAAUAAAUAUUUCAAGUGGUUGACAACUAGGUUGAGGGACCAAUCCACCCUUUUUUUUUGCGGGUUUAAGGCGGUGCAGGCUUAAAGUGGGACGGACGGAGCGGAUAGACGGGUAUAAAAUCCUAACCCAAUCCACCAUUUUUGAAGGGUGCACGGGCCGACCCGACGGGUCACGACCUAUUUUGCCAUCCCUAGUCCAAAUAUAUGGAACUCAAUUGCCAUAUGAUUUAGAAAAAGAUAGAAUCUGGGCUCAUCAAACUGUUUCCUAUCAUUACCAAGACUCAAAUGCCAGAUUUUCUAACUAGAACAACCGUAUAAACCAGCCUUUGAGACUCACAUUUCCAAAUUUGAACUACUCAACAUUCAGUCUAAUUUGUGGGGGAUGUAUCACAUAUAGGAAAUAUUACAUAGUUUAUAUUUUUAUCGCUCUAACCAUUAUGACUAGUUAAAGCUACUAGCCAUUACUUUCUAGUUUAUAGGAUUAUGCUGUUAUUUUCCUGUGUGUAUAUAUAGGGGAUUGUUAUAUUUUCUCUAUGUUGAAUAAUAAAGGUGUGUAAACAUUAAUAUUAAAAGUUAAAUUAAUAUGUUUAUUUUAAUUAUAAAAAACGAAAGAAAUUGUUUUCUUCUUCAACAAAGAUUUGCAUUCGUCACCUCUUUUUCUUUCAAUUCUUAUCAUUUUUUUAUUUUCUCUUUUGCAAAUCCAAUACAUACCACACCACCGGUUACUUAUUCUCUGUUUUGAUCUUCCAUCGCAUGUCUAUACAACUACGCCACUAUUUUUGAGAUAGCGAGUGUCGAUUAAUGAAGACAAUAUUUUUUUUAUUGUGUGACUAGGUUGAAGAAAAGUAUGAAUCCUAAUUUUUAUGUCAAUUUUGUAUCUAUGAAAACAAAACAAAAAAUGAUGUAUUUAGCGACCUUCCGAAUGUAUUUGGUAAGGAAUGGAAAGGUUUAAGUGGAAAUGAAUUUGGAGAGACAUUUUUGAGUACAUUGAAAUGAGAAAAAAAUGUCACAUGAUUAUAUAUUGAAAGACACAUAUAUGAUAUAAAUAUUGAUUUCAAUAGAAUUUUGGAUGGUCUUAGUAUAAUGAUUUUGUAUUUUGACCUUAGCGAUUUCAUUAGAAAGGACAAUGUCUCUCCUAAAAUAUAACAUAUUUUGACGAGUGUCAUUUUUAAUAAAAGUGUUCGAUAUAUAAAUGUAAAAUUUGAGAUAACCACAAGACAAAAAUAAAUUUUUGAUUGUUUGUAAGCUGUACAUUAUAAGAUUUUCUCUUUGAUAUCCUUAUUGACGGUCUAGACAAACAUAUAUCUUCGGUAGAGUAUUGUACCAUCCUUAAAUAUUGGCUUAUGAUUCCCUUAUUUCAUGUUGAAGAGGUUUGUUAUGUAUACCCACAAAGCGUCCUUGGAUACAUUUGAGAACACGUUAUUCAUUCCAACGAGCUCUGAGAAUUCAUAAACUUAUAUGACUAUGUUAUGAAUGUUCUAUUUGAAAAAAUUAGACCCUUACAAUUUUUUUGAUUAAUCCACACAAGAGAAGAUGAAAAUUUAUAUAUAAUCUUAAUUAUAUAUAUUGUAAAAUCAUAAUGCAUAAAAAAUUAUUUUCAUAAAUAUAAUUUUUAAAAAUAUUCAUCUUAUCAUUAAAAAAUAAUAGCGGUGUAUAACUAACCGUCCAUCUUCAAAGUUAUUUUGCAGGUGCCUAAUUCUCUAAAAUAUAUGCCUAAUUUUGCAUGUGCCUAAUUCUAUAAAAAUUAUUUCAGUCAAUUUAGAGCUGUAUUUUUAUAUGCCUUAUAUUUCUAAGAUAUACAAUUGAGAUUAUACACAAAUAGUAUAAACCCAUGUCUAUACCGGUUUAAUGUCCAUGUUACCUUAGAAACUUGCAAAAUUGUAUUUAAUUUUUUAUAAUUGAAAAAAUGAUAAGAUUUUUUUAUAAUUGUAUUUAAUAUAAACGAAUGGGUCAUUCUAAUUUGAUUUUGAUAAUAAAAAAUGAUAAGAUUUUUUUAUACACCAAUUUUUUAAAGUCUAGACGGAUUGAGUAAUACAUUAGACAAAUCCCUAUCCAAUCUAAUCCAAUAUGUUACACCUAUUGACUAGAGUGAAACUUCUAUCCAAUCUAAUCCAAUAUGUUACACCUAUUGACUAGAGUGAAACUUUUGCAUGAUGAUUCAUAAUUAUUUAUUUCAUUUAAAAUUGAUCUAUCUUCUUUUUAAUUGAGAUCACAACGAAUCAUUAAUAUCAAGAUGGCUCACAUUUUUUUUAUUAAUUAUAGUUUUUAUUUAUUUAUUAUGGUACAAUAUAUAACUAUUUGUUAGUACAAUAUAAAUAAAAUUAUAAGAAUGUGAAUAAAGCUCUUUAAAAAAUCAUAUUGUAAAUAAAUAGUCAUACUUUUGCACAAAAAAUGUUGGCCCUAGACUAUAAUCUAAUUUUAAAUUGAUUACUCCAUUUAUUUACUUUUAUGAAUGAGAUGUAUUUUUGUUUUUCAUUUUUGUCUUAUAAAUUGGGCCAUAAUAAUAGCAAAUUGGGCUCUAAAUGACGGGCCCAGGAUCCAAUUGGGUAUUAAGCUUCAAUAUCUAUAAACAGAAUUAGGGUUUUUAUCCCAGAAAGAGAGACGAAGAAGCAGAUUCCGAACCAGAGAGGCGUAGGGAGCGAAAAUGGUGAAGUUCUUGAAACCUAACAAGGCGGUGAUUCUCUUGCAAGGCCGAUAUGCCGGCAAGAAAGCCGUGAUUGUGAAAACCUUCGACGACGGAACCCGUGAGAAGCCUUACGGACACUGUCUUGUUGCUGGAAUCAAGAAGUACCCUAGCAAAGUGAUCAAGAAAGACUCAGCGAAGAAGACGGCGAAGAAAUCUAGGGUUAAGGCAUUCGUGAAGCUGGUGAAUUAUCAACAUCUGAUGCCUACUCGUUACACUCUGGAUGUGGAUCUGAA